This 56429-nucleotide long non-coding RNA is filed under the name Fragaria vesca (wild strawberry). RNAcentral's name for it is "long non-coding RNA (FVES_LNC002856)". Lineage: Eukaryota; Viridiplantae; Streptophyta; Magnoliopsida; Rosales; Rosaceae. The record is from RNAcentral.
UUUUUAUUUCCUCUGCAGUCUGCACCAGUACGAGAGCUGAGUUUGGCAGUCUGCAGCGGACCAGAAGCCUACGAUUUUCACCAACUUUGACUACUAAUUUUCACUUUGGUUAAAUUUGAAGUCCAUCCAGCUUUUGUCUUCAACCUAGAAGUCCUACUGUCCUAGCUAGCAAGCUUGGACCCUUUCUCGGUUUCUCCAUGCAACGAUUGUGAUGCCUGUCAAGACUAGGGAUUUCUGGGUUUAACAUUACGCUAUUGAGGUAUAUAUGACCAUUAUCAAUCUAAGUAAAAUGAUAUUCAAGUAAUAUAUCAAUACACAAAAUCACCUGUGGUACGGUUGUAGACUUGUAGUGCAACAUAUCUAUAUAUAUGGUUAAUUUGUCCCUCUAUCGAACCCAAUUAUAUAUAUACACAGAACUAACGUACGUGGGGAUUGACUAAGAUCAACAAUCCUUCAGGUAUUCUCACACUGAAAUUAGAAGGAAAAGAAAGACAGAGCUACAAACUUCUUCGUGGGGAUGUUGAUUGGGUUGUCCAGAUCAGAACUGUCAUCUAUGUUUGUAGAAUUGCGCGACUAAAAUCAUGGACAACGGUAGAUGACCAACACCGAAGGUAUUAUUUCAACGUGCUCAAUAUAGAUUUGCCAUAUAUAUAUGUGUGUUGAACCUGUUAUGCUUACAAUUCUAAGAUUGAAGCAUAUAUGACUGGGUAUUUGUUACGUUUUAUAUGAGUUGAAACUUGAAAUCAAUCAGAGUGGAACGUAUUAUACGUACACAUCAUCCAUUAUUCUUCAUGUUUAAUGAGAUGUAGUUUGCAGUUUAGGGACUUUUACAGUUUACAAUGUUUGUGGAAUUAAUGAUCAUUUUCGAAAUAUAUGUGGAAUUAGUAGUUUAGUACUACGCUAAAUAUCUGAAAAUUGGAAAAUGACCCAGUGGCAUGCUUCAUGUAUCUCUUCUGACUUCUGUUAUGAGUUCGUAUAAUAUAAUUUUACACAUUUUUCUUUUACGCUGAAAGUUCUGGCAACACAAGUAUUAGUGAUCGAUACCUCUUCUUCCUCAAAGUUGAACCGAAUACGUAUGAUAAAGUCUAUAUAUGAACCUAAUCGAAAAAAAGUCUAUACCUAUCUGUAUAUAUUAAGCGAUCGAAGCGGGGGGAUUACUGUUCACGGAACAGUACCCAACCCUUAUGAGUCAUGCCCCUCUAUUUGCAUCGUUAUUUCAGUUCUGUCCUUCUGUGUUGUCGUUCUCUACCGCUGCCACCUGUUUCGGUUUAAUCCUUCUGUUUUGUUUUUCACUGAGAGACACAGAGAAAGAAGAGGAAGAAGAGUAAGACAAUAGACAUCAGUGCCACCCUCUUUCAAUUCAUAAUUCCAAUUGUUGUAUUGUCAGCUUAAUAAAUUUGGAUUAUACAAAUAUGUACUGUUGCAUCAAUGGAAAUCAGUAUCAAUGAAGUAUGUAGAGUAUACUGUUGCAUCAAUAUUAUCUGACCAUUUCAAUUAAUUUGUUUCAGAGGUUUGAACUUUUUUGAAUAAUUGCUGAACUAGAGAAAUACUACCUAAUUGGGAUUUAGCUGACUCUUGCAAACAACAUGCUCAUGUAUGUGUCUGAGUGAAGUUGUACCUACAUUCUGAGUAGCCAUCAAUUUGUCUUAUGUGAAAGAUCACUAAAGGUGGCGGAAAUACAGUAUGAGGCUGAAAUUUUACUUCUCUUCGUUGUCGGGCGAGCUCGGCUGAUUUGAAAGGUGCACACGGAGCGAAGAGUGCAAAGGAAGAAGGGAAAGAAGUUGAAAUCGGAGGAUCCAGUCGAGUAAUUAGACGUUUCUGAGAGAUUAAGCUCUAGGUAAGAUUGAAUCUUGAGUGCGAUUUGAGUUUUAAAUUUCAGUGCAUGCAAUUCCAGGUGGUGCAUAUGAGUGUGUGUAUGUGGAUGUAUCUGCGGGUGGUUUGGAAUUUAGGUUGGGUUUGUAGGUUAUUGUGUGUGUUGUGUUCCAUUUCUGUGGAUGUUACAUAGCUAAUCUGUUUAGUUGGUUUUCAUGUGUAUAGCUAAUCUGUUUGUGUUUUGUGUGAUUGGGUGUAACUAUUACUGCUACAUACAAUUACUUGCCAAACCUUACUUUAGUUAUGUGAUUUCUAAUGGCAUACUUAUUGAGGAGGGAACCGAUUUUCAUUUGCUGAUGAGAUUUGUGUGUUAUGCACUAUAUGUUGUUUGUGUUGAAAUCAGUGAAUGAAAUUGGUUUUUCGAGUUUUUUUUUGUCAAUGUUUUGGUUAAUAUCGAUGUUUGCAUCCAAUCUACAUGUCUUUUCCUUCUAACUACUCUUUUGUUGAAGACCAAUAAAAGCACGUAAUGAGAAAGCAAUAUUGAGAGGGGAUUUGCUCACUUAUCAUCACUCGGUCAUCAAUACAGCUGUAGCUACUGUGAUGAAAUUUGCUAUGAUGAAUCAAAUUAAAACUUUGUCAACAUAGUUUUGACGAAUCCUCUGGACUACUCUUUACCUACUUUUAUUUGUCUUAGACCUUUGUGUUUCUGGGUUUUGAUUAAGGACUUGAACUCUACUACCAAUAGUUGAUUGUUUGAUUUUUGUUUCAAACGAUAAGUUUUUGAAUGAAAGUCCUUUUGCACGCGCGAAGCGCAGGCAUCAAGGCUAGUAAUAGAUUAAGGUGUGCGAUCUUGACCAAACUAUUGCAUCUUCAACUGCUUGCAUCAAACAGAUUCUAUAUGCAUCCAAGGCUCUCAUAAGCGACAACCAUAUCUAUUAUCUAUCGCUCAUGAGCUGAUCAGUUCUAUUCAGCAGUUUGAAAGCUGACUGAAUAUAGGAAUAUUUCCAAACCAAACUUAAAAAUUAUUGGGUCAGGUACAGUGGCCGGACGCAGAGAGAUAUGUAAGUGGGGGCAAAAAUAUUGAGGAAGUAAGGAACCUCUAGAGACAGCUCAUUGUCUAUUUCUUCUUCCUCUCAGAUCUCCAAUUUUUAAUCACAGAUCUUGGUAAGCCACAUAUUUUGAAUCAUUCCGGUAACAACAAGACACAAUUUUGGGACCUAAACUUUGUUUAAUUAAUGUGAGGUGGGAGAUUCUUACACUUAUAUUUAUGUGUCAAUAUUUUGACUCAUGACUGGGGCAGAUUUGACUAAAUGCUGGGCAUACAUAUGAAGCUGCUGGCCAAAAAAAAAGUUCACUCACUCGCCCCCUCUGCGUCCGCCAUUGGUCAGGUACGCAAUACUAUUUCGAUAUAUAAUACUUAUUCGCAUGUAAUGUUUAGGAUUAGUGUCCAAAAUAAUCACGUAACGCAUGCAUUUGGAUUUUACCAUUUCUACGUAUGAUGAACCGAUCGAAGAAAUUGUCAAAAAUAUAACCUUUCAACUCCGUAAAACUUUAGAGACAUGACCAGAGGAAAAACGUAGCAGCUUAUCUAUAGUGGCUAUAUAAUGUCCACCUUCUCCAUGCAUCAGUACCCACAAACCUACUAGCCAAGCCAUAAGAAUCGAAAGUAAAGUAGAUCCAUCAAUUUAAGAAGCUUGUUAGCUCAAUGGAGAAAUCUCAAUCUCACGUAGUGAUCUUUCCAUUUCCACUACAAGGCCACAUCAAACCAUUGCUAUGCUUAGCAGAGCUUCUCUGCCAUGCAGGCCUUCAUGUCACCUUUGUCAACACCCGCCACAACCACAACCGCUUAGCCAACCUCCCUGCCCUCUCCGCCCGCUUCCCCACCCUCAAUUUCGAGUCCAUCUCGGACGGUCUCCCCCUUGAGCACCCGCGUACUUUGGGCAGCGAGUUGUUGAUCGCAUUGAAGACGUCGAUUAAGCCUCAUUUCAAGGAGCUACUCCAGUCACCCCUUAAGGCUAACGGUGUUGCGCUACCGGCGCCGACAUGUAUUAUUACAGAUGGACUUGUGACUUUUGCCUUUGAUGUUGCAGAGGAGUUGGGGUUACCUAUAUUUAGUUAUAAUGUUCCAUGUACUCGUUACAUGUGGACUUGUCUUUGUCUCCCCAAUCUCAUAGAACAAGGCCAGCUUCCUUUCCCAGGUGACUAACGAUCUUCUAGUUUAUUUGAAUCCGAUCGAACCUAUGCUUGCAUACAUGAACUGCAUCUGAUCUAUAUAUUCGAGCCAGAUGAUUUUGGAUACAAUAGUAAUUAGUUUACUCACUUGAUUGAGUUUUAAACAUAUCGUAUAAUAUCUUAUGAACAGAUGACGACAUGAAUGUGGAAAUUACCGGCGUCCCGGGAAUGGAAGGCCUUCUGCGACGUGUAGAUUUACCUGGUUUUUGCAGAGUAAAACAGUCGAACCAUCCUGGCCUUCAAUUUGCCAUCCACGAAACUCAGACACAAAAGCGAGCUUCGACUCUAAUCCUCGACACCAUUUACGAGCUUGACGCUCCAUGUCUGUCUCAUAUGGCCAACAUGUUCCCUAAAAUCUACACUCUCGGCCCUCUCCACUCUCUCCUACAUUCUCAAAUCGGCGACGUCUCACGAUCCUUAGCAUCCCACGGCGGUCUUUGGAAGGGGGAUCCGAAUUGCAUGACAUGGCUCGACUCUCAGCCAACCAAAUCGGUUCUCUAUGUCAGCUUUGGAACCCUAGUGACCUUGACGGGCACCCAAAUCAUAGAGUUCUGGUAUGGUUUGAUCAACAGUGGGCAUCCAUUCCUGUGGGUUAUACGGUCCGAUAUCACUUCGGGUUUAGGUGGAGACCCGAUUCCUAUGGAGCUUGAAAUAGGGACCAAAGAGAGAGGGUACAUAGUGAACUGGGUCUCACAAGAGGAAGUCUUGGCUCACAAGUCAGUGGGAGGGUUCUUGACACAUAGCGGAUGGAACUCGACCCUAGAGAGCAUUGUAGCAGGAAUUCCGAUGAUUUGUUGGCCUAAUUUAGGGGAUCAUUACAUCAUUAGCAGAACAGUGAGUGAGAAGUGGAAGAUUGGUCUUCAACUAAAAGAAAACUGUGACAGAAAGGAGAUUGAAACCAUGAUAAGAAUGUUGAUGGAGUUUAAAAGGGGAGAGAUCCAGAGCUCAAUGGAUGUAAUUUCAAAAGUGGCUCGUGAUAGUGUUGUGAAAGGCGGAUCUUCAAACCAUAAUUUGGAGAUGCUAAUUCAAGACAUUAGGAAUAUGCAUACAAGACCACAGCAGUGAGCGGGUUAGGGUUAAGCUGGUUCCACGUUAUUCAAUCCUUAUUGGGUAAUUCUAAAUUGGGUUUUAUUCAUUGUAUUAAUUUGUCCCUUGUUAAUUUUGUACUUUUGGGGAAAUUAUUAUUUGUAUCCGAAACAUCCACGUGUCUUAUGUUUCUUUUUAAUCUUAUUGGUCUAAAUGUUUUAUCUUUAUUUUUUAUUUGUGUAUUUAAUUACUUUUAUUUAUUUUUUUCCACCCCCUGCUGGUUCCCACAUGAAUAUGAGUUAUAUGAUUGGUCAUGUACAUGGAAUAAUUACUCUUGUUUCUGAUUGAUGUAUUUAAUUACUUUUUUUUCCCACCCCUGCUAGUCUCCACAUGAAUAUGAGUUAUAUGAUUGGCCGGGUACACCACAUGGCAGUGUCACGUGGUGUUCCAGGUACAAGGAAUAAUUACUCUUAAUUUUGUAUGGUUAGCCAAACACAUGACUAGUGAAUCACUGUACCAUUUGUUAAUUUGUAAUUAUUUUGUUUACUGGUUGUAAUUAUCAUCAGAAACUGGGAUCUAUCGACCUUCCACUAUUUCUAUCCGGGGAAUCAUCUUUUUAAAAAUUUAACUAAAGCUCACCGGUUGUCAAUCUAUUUGGGAGAGCCAUGCAUAUAUAUCAUUUAAUGAAAUACUCUAAUUGAACGGUGUGUGUCUAUAUAUAUAUAUAUAUAUAUAUAUAUAUAUAUAUAUAUAUAUUGGUGUCAAUAUCGGUGCUAUUCGUGUGUUUCAAUUUGGUGUCAUUCCCCCAACAAUUGUUUGCGCCUUUGGAUUUCCAUCCACCACUUCUCGAUCUCCUGUCGUCUGUCGACCUCCAUUGUCACUGAGCUAACCUACCACAAUAUAUAGCUGGUUUUCUGAUAAAGUGAUGGAGCUAAUCAAGCAUAUACCGUAUUAAUUGCUCCUAGCUGGUAGAUUUUAUUUGUUUGUCUAUCAUCCUACCGAUGUAUAAAUGUCUAUCAUCUAGCAUAUAUAAUGUGUACUCUGAAUUAUUUAGGAUCGAUGGGGCGGUGGCAAACCUAAGACCUUGAGGUGUUGAAUUAAUUGUUGAAAGCAUGGAUGCUUAAUUACCUUAUAGAAAACAGUUGUUUGUAAUACUCUGUAACGUACAAUACAUGAAGGUUUAUGAAAUGAGAUUCCAAUUUUAAUUAACGGCUAACGUCUAGAGCUUUUAUCGUACAAGAUAAAUGAGAUAACUUUUUACAUGGAUGCACACGGGUAGCUGGUUUGGAUUUUAUAAUAAUAGUUUAUUUGUAAUUUGAAUAUUUGAUCAACAGAAUGAGUGAAAUAUAAUACAGUCGAUCUCUGAAAAUUUAGUUGAAUCUCAAGAAAUUAAUUUCCAACAAGUAAGAACUAUGUGACGAGCAAGCUAGUAAUAUUCAGCAUUUGCAUAGCGCGCGCAUAUAUAUAGCAAAUUCCAAACUCAUGCAAUUUCUUUUGGGUUUUUUCCUACAACAAGUGAACAAACCACCCGACCCUGACCAGCCUAAGAGCGCAUCAGCAAGGCAUUUGGCUAAUGAAAAAAAGAUCGAUAUAUACACUUGACUUACAUUCAUCUUGAUCUUAGGUGAUUAAUUCAGUGAAAAAGGGAUAACUAAGAAAUUAAAAUUGAUGGAGAUCGAGUGCAUGUUGAUACCUCAUGCAUUUUCCUUGGGGUAAAUUUCUUAUUCACCGAACCACCCGAUCGACUGUACCAGUUGUACUCUGAAAGAUGAUCAGUCUGCAUUCUGCAGUGUACUAGACCAUUUGGAUUUUGCUUCAUGUCCGCGCAUGUUUGAAACUUUGAAUGUUAUCUACUUUUCGAUUUUGUUUCAACUUUGAAUUCCCUCUAUCUCCUUCUACUGCAAAACAUAUCUUGUUCCAAAUCUUCAACUGUAAUAUUAGAUCAUUAAGCUAGGAUAUCUGUGCCGGCGCUUCCACCAUCGAUUAGGGUUUAGGCAGCUGCUGGCUACUUAGCACAGAAGGCACGUAUAUAUUUUGUGCGAAGCACGCAUGUAAGACAUAGCUAACCGAGGAUGUCUUAUGAAGGCCAAUGGAGAAAAGGAAAAAAGGGAGAAAUUAUUCCGAUUUGAAAGUGUUCACUGUUAGAACCAAUCCAAUAUCCGUUCAAAACAGUAUAUAUAUAUAUAUAUAUAUAUAANNNNNNNNNNNNNNNNNNNNNNNNNNNNNNNNNNNNNNNNNNNNNNNNNNNNNNNNNNNNNNNNNNNNNNNNNNNNNNNNNNNNNNNNNNNNNNNNNNNNNNNNNNNNNNNNNNNNNNNNNNNNNNNNNNNNNNNNNNNNNNNNNNNNNNNNNNNNNNNNNNNNNNNNNNNNNNNNNNNNNNNNNNNNNNNNNNNNNNNNNNNNNNNNNNNNNNNNNNNNNNNNNNNNNNNNNNNNNNNNNNNNNNNNNNNNNNNNNNNNNNNNNNNNNNNNNNNNNNNNNNNNNNNNNNNNNNNNNNNNNNNNNNNNNNNNNNNNNNNNNNNNNNNNNNNNNNNNNNNNNNNNNNNNNNNNNNNNNNNNNNNNNNNNNNNNNNNNNNNNNNNNNNNNNNNNNNNNNNNNNNNNNNNNNNNNNNNNNNNNNNNNNNNNNNNNNNNNNNNNNNNNNNNNNNNNNNNNNNNNNNNNNNNNNNNNNNNNNNNNNNNNNNNNNNNNNNNNNNNNNNNNNNNNNNNNNNNNNNNNNNNNNNNNNNNNNNNNNNNNNNNNNNNNNNNNNNNNNNNNNNNNNNNNNNNNNNNNNNNNNNNNNNNNNNNNNNNNNNNNNNNNNNNNNNNNNNNNNNNNNNNNNNNNNNNNNNNNNNNNNNNNNNNNNNNNNNNNNNNNNNNNNNNNNNNNNNNNNNNNNNNNNNNNNNNNNNNNNNNNNNNNNNNNNNNNNNNNNNNNNNNNNNNNNNNNNNNNNNNNNNNNNNNNNNNNNNNNNNNNNNNNNNNNNNNNNNNNNNNNNNNNNNNNNNNNNNNNNNNNNNNNNNNNNNNNNNNNNNNNNNNNNNNNNNNNNNNNNNNNNNNNNNNNNNNNNNNNNNNNNNNNNNNNNNNNNNNNNNNNNNNNNNNNNNNNNNNNNNNNNNNNNNNNNNNNNNNNNNNNNNNNNNNNNNNNNNNNNNNNNNNNNNNNNNNNNNNNNNNNNNNNNNNNNNNNNNNNNNNNNNNNNNNNNNNNNNNNNNNNNNNNNNNNNNNNNNNNNNNNNNNNNNNNNNNNNNNNNNNNNNNNNNNNNNNNNNNNNNNNNNNNNNNNNNNNNNNNNNNNNNNNNNNNNNNNNNNNNNNNNNNNNNNNNNNNNNNNNNNNNNNNNNNNNNNNNNNNNNNNNNNNNNNNNNNNNNNNNNNNNNNNNNNNNNNNNNNNNNNNNNNNNNNNNNNNNNNNNNNNNNNNNNNNNNNNNNNNNNNNNNNNNNNNNNNNNNNNNNNNNNNNNNNNNNNNNNNNNNNNNNNNNNNUAGAGGAUACAACUAUUUGGUUCAAAUUCUUGUGCAAGAACUUGACCCUGGCGAAUUUACUUUAUGCUUAAAAAAAAUAGUUUUUGGGGAGGAAGAAGAAGAAUGAGUCGAUGAUAAAAACGUACAACGACAGAAGUCGUCCUUAUAUAAAAGUCAAUUCGAACAGGUAUAACUGUUCGGACAGACACAACUGCUCAGACAGUUGUAACUGUUCGGAUAAUUAUGUCUUUUGAUAUUUAUCCGAAUUAAUAAUUAAAUUAAAUAAUAUUAAUUUCUAAAAAUUAAAUUCGGAUUUAAUCAACAUAUUAAAUAUAUAUAUAUUAUUUAUUUCUAUUAAAAAACCUAAUAGAAAGCCCACCAAACUCAUAUUAGGCCUAUCAUCCAUUUAAUAAGUCACAUGGGUGUUUCCAUAUAAAAACUCACACAUUUAAUUCUUUGUCUACAAAAGCUGGACUACACACUUUGUACCGUACCUCAUACGGAUCCGUUAACGGAAGGGCAGUUACGUAAUUUCUGGUCGUUCACGGUAACUGCAUGAUUUCACUGCUGUACUGAGGGAUAGAAAAGAGAUUUCGCCCGAGAUCGAUCCCCCACGCGUCUCAACCCUUCGUCAACUAUUUCGAUACAUUCGAUAAGGCAGAGAUAUUGAAUCUCGAACUUAUUCGAAGAGAGUCCGGAUCUGGAAUCGGACACCCAGAGAGAAUGAUUAGCGACGAAGCUCAUUGCGGCGAGGUCAGAGUCGAAUCUAAUCUGGUAGCCAUCGCCAAAAACCCAAUACAAUCCGCCUCAGGUUCCUUCUCUUUCUAAAUUGGUAUUGCGAACCUUGCUUUUCUUUGCUUUGUUUGUCAUUUUGCAUCUUAGAUUGCAUAUAUGCCCCACUAAUUCUACAUUUGGAACCCUGGUCCUCGAUAAACAUAUCAUCUUGGAUUGCUACUUUUGUUUAUCUAUUGUUCUUUUGAUUUGAUUUUAAUGCCAUUUGAUCUUGGAUGCUGCAACUGGAUGGUAAGUUGCUAACUUAUUGAUUGAACUUAAUGAAAUUCUCAUUAUAUAUUAAUCUUCAAUGUUUAGGGUUCAUAUUUUAUUCUUGCAGAGUUGUAGAUUAAUUGAACUGAUUAUGCUGGGUUCUUAUGAUAAUGUUUAUUGUUUUGCUCAACAGGCAGUAGGUAGACUGAACUGAUGAGGAAUGUUUCAGCUGAAUAGGAAGAUUGCAUUGUUGAUGAUGUUGGAAUCUGCUGCAGAUAUCAUGCUAUAUGCACCUUGUGGGAUCUUAUUGAUAAUGCUUCAAUCUAUUCCAUAUUGUACAACAUUAAGCAAUGACUCUGUAGGUCAAGUGAAAGGUAUAUAUAUACUCACUUGGAAAUCAAAAAUGGUUACACUUACAUGGAUCUGUUAUUAGACUAUGCUCCUUCACAUUGGGUGCAUAUGCAUGUCCCAAUUAUCUGAAUGUGAGGACCCCAUUAAUCCUUCGGUUAACUUGCUUCCCUAAGGAAAUAGGUUAGGUAGUGAAAAAGGGUAUAGAUUAUAGGUACCAGCAGUGCUCCAAGAGUGUUUCAGCACCUGCAAAUGAAUAAUGAACCAAAUUGACUAGUGAUAUUUCUAGAAACCUGAUAUUUAAACAAGUUUGUAUGUCAGAUCCCUUCAAAUUACGUGAUAUUUAAACAAGUUUGUAUGUCAAAUUACCUGAUAUUAUGGAAAAGAACAAAUUCAGGUUCCUGGAGUAAGGGUAGUACAAAGAUCGCGGAGGCUUUUUUUCUUUAAUUUUUGGAAUAGGAAGAUCAUUUCUCUUUCAUAACGUUCUUGUUGUCUUGUUAGAUUCACUAAAGUUUGAUAGGGGUCUCUUGUGUUUGGUGUGCUGUACGUGAGAAACAUAAUACAAUUUGUAUUUGGAAGGAAGGUGUUUGGGGAUUUUGGUGCAGGGUAAAUUUUGUAGAAUUUCCAGAGUCACUGCCAUAUGUGCAUUUACAGCUGGGGCUAUGCUUCUCUUUAAUAUGGUAUCUUACAUUUGCCGUGGUUGCUUACGAAUGAAAGAUGGGAUGAAUCAAACUAUUCUUUUCUUAGUUUAUGGUAAAAUUCUAGUCUCUGUCGUUUGUUUCUUCAUUAAAAUGUUGACAUUGAAAAUCAGAUCCAGUUCAUCUCACUUCAUUGUAUUGUUUUCAUUCAGGGCUAUAUGAUUAUCUUUGGAUUAAACGCUCUUUAAUGACAAACAUUACAGAGUGAUGGCUCUGUAACUGGAACUUGGAACUUCACCAAUGCCAAAUAUAUCAUUGCUACACUGUCAAAAACAAGUAUUUUACAGCUGGAUGAGACCUUGGCAUGAACAUAUAUUUCACUGUUAGUCUUGUUUAAAACUUUUCUGAUCGUUUUGAUUCUUGUCAUGGAUUUUUUUGAGCUACAUGAAUGUUACUCAGGGAAUGAGCUAAAUGAAUGAUGCUUAUUAAAAAGAUAUUGGAUCCAGCGUAUUGUAAAUACAUGUAGCAGCCUUCAAAACAUCCCAAGGACCUCAGCUGCCACUUCAGCAAGGGCAUGGAAUUUGGAACCAGGUGGGUGUUUAUAACAGUGGUCAUCAUCUGCCAUGAACGCAGUCGUGCUUAUUUCUGAUAACUUUUCUUAACAAUUGGUCACCAUCUGUGUCUGAUAUCUGUGGUUCAAUUUCCAAAGCUGAAUUAUACUGAUAUGAAUCUUACAACAUGUAUUCGGAUCAGCUUGGUACAUCAGUAGUAUGACACCAAAACAUAUUGCGAACAGACAUUGAUGAAUGGAAACUACAGCUUACUCUACAUUACUAACUGGUGUUCCCAAUCCAGAUUUCUACAGGUGGUUGAUUACAUCAUGAUCCUUACUCAACAUCUCAUUUAAAGGAUUAAUGUAUAAUUCUUUUGUAUUCUCAUUGCGUUCUUUAACUCUGGGUUUUGUAACCAAUUUUUUUAUAAAUCUAUAAUAGACAUGAAUCUCCAGCUUUAGCAUCUCAUAUAAAUUACGUACAAUUUCCAGCUUUUCACAAUCAAAGCAAUUCAUACUAUUUUGACAGAGAUCAUCAAUCAUGGCUUCCUUGAUAGUUAAAGUGCUGACCCUUAAUUCUGUGGUGCCUUGGACGAGGUUAGCAUGUAACAAAUGCAUACAUCACUAGUUUAGCAGACGAAGCAUUACAACGUCGAGGACUUGGAUUUAUAGUUUUAUACACCUAGUCAUCGAGGCUUGAUGUAUAAAUCUUUUUAAUCUCCUAAUACUUAAAUUAAAACAGCAUUUCAAUGUCAAAAUCUUUGGAUAGCCGUAAGUUUAUUACAAGAAGAAUGACCAAUUCAAAUGGGAUACACUACUGUGAAAAUUACUGGUAUUCAACUUUAUUCGGCAUGACAAUGCAGCAACCCAAAACCACAAUUACGUAUCCUUCUGAAUAGUAAAUAAAACCAUAAUAUGCACAGAAUCUCUCAUAUCAGUUUUAUAGUAACAUGCCAAAUAUCAGGCUCUUAGUGAAAUACCACCAGAGUUUUACAAAAGGAUGGUUAAAUGAUUUGCAUUAUGUCAAGACACAACUACAUAAGCAAAAAGUUAUCAAUAAUUCAUCAAAGUACUGUGCUAGGUCAUCUAAAACUCCCCAGUCCCCAAAGGCUUCUGUGCUAUGUCCUCACCAAGCCUUCAAAAACAAAAACCACCCUGAUUGUGGCUGUAACCUUAGACAGCAACAUACCUUCCAAUCAAAGAUGAAUUCAAGAAACAUAAAGAAUCCCAAAAGCUGACAAGAAAUUUAAUUCACCCUAUUCUCGUCCACCACUACGUACACCUUUAUAUUCUUCAACAAUCCGUAUACUUCUUUCUAUCAAAAUGAAUGACAGCGAAAACCGCAAGCCAAGGAACUUAAUUUGGCUUUCUUUCCUUUGCCAGAACCAAGAUACCGUGAGCAUAGAGCAGGACCUUCCAAUUCUCCUUGAAGAACUGUCUCCCACAAAUGUAAAGUAGCUUCACAUCUAGUUUUUGGUUUCAUGCAUUUCCUGCUGUAGUUCAUCAGCAGAGGUAUUAAAAUGGUGAAGCUAGUCUAUUCAAUCACUAUUUAUGACAGAGUAUCACAAGUCCAUGAGAUUUUUGGUGCCUAAGAAGACGAUGAAGACUUGAAAACACAAAUUAGUGCUUGUAUAUGACCAAAAAAUGCCAAGAAUAACAUUAUUUUGUUGCUUCUUGUGUCAUAGAAACACCUUGCUCUUCAGUCCUCAGUAUUUUGUGUCUGGAAAACAUUCAUUUAUGUCAAGAAUAACAAGAUCUAUGGGGCUAUUCUACUCAUGAAACAUGCAUAAUCUCUGACUUUCAUAUAAAGGAUGGAUGAUGCAAGUAAUCAAAAAAAUCACAAAAUUAUCAGUCACACAAAUGAGAAGGAUAUUGCUUCGGCCUGGAUCGGUUAAUUUUUAUCGCAUAGCAAAUUUAUGUAAAUUCCAAUAGCAUAUUGUAGACCAUAAUCAUAUAUGCAAAAGAAUCGCAAGCAGAAAGUCUAAAACUUGAAAUCAAGCAGCUAAUAUCAUGUGUAUAAAUUCCUCAUCUGAUACUCCUCCAAGUACACACCACAUGUUACACAGCUCUUCAAAUUCCAAUUUCUCUAAUCCCUAUAUGGCUACCGUCGCUAAAGAAUUUACAGUUUACCUAAACCACAUAUGCCUAUGCUAAACUAAAUGACACCAUAUGCACAACUCUGUUAGCAGAGUCGACCAUCUAUAUCAUUGUAAAAGGUAGAAGAAAAAAGAUUGACAAACACAAACCCAACUAUCAGUGUCUUCCAUAUUUUUUUUUAUAAGCUACAGCUUACAAGCUGAAUAAAAUGAUCUAAAUUUCAAGACCAAAUGACUAGAUAGUUUACAUAUGUUUGAUCUAGCUGUGGCAACUACAAAUUCAUUGAAUCAAAUUUGGAUACAGCACCACAAAGAAUACAACGAUAGAAAGAACUUAUAAGAGUUAAGACAUAUGGUAGCUAUUAGAUAAAGAUCAUACAGAACAAAGCCAGAGAAAAGUACUAUAAUGGCUUGCCAUUGAACCUAUCACUCUUGUGGGAAGAAGAAAUCAAAUCCUUUUUCAUUAUUGUAAACAAGAAAACAAAAGAGAAACAGAGGAAGGCAUUUGAUGUGCAAGACCUUAGAUUGAUAUCAGAUAGAGAUAAAGAACAGUGUAAAACAGAGAUUGCUCUGGAUUAAUGCUAAUGACUUAAUCAGAACAGUGUAAACAACAAUUCAGUUCCAAGGGGAAGGGACAGUUGCGGCAUCAAGGCAGAUAAUAAAAUGACACCAAGCACAAAUGAAUUUUAUGUGUAAUAAAUUCAACUGAAGUGUUGAAAACCCAAAUGACAGCAAAGCAUCACAAUAAUUUUCGAUUGAUACUGGAACAAGACAAUUGCAUUAGUUUUGCUCUAAUUGAAGAUGUGCAAAAUUCUAGUUACUAUGAUCAUGGGUGAAAAUGAUAAUCAUGCGUACAAGCUAUGGUCCAACGCCUAAACAAUACAGAGCCCUCACCAGCUAAAUCUUUUCUGACUGUUGCCCAUGAAUAAAACUAGAACCAUUGAAAUGUAGCUACCAAUGGAAAUGGAUCAACUGAGAUCUCGUUAUCUCAGCAAACUUCAUGGGAUUAACAUCUGGAUAGGCAGUUUGUUAUUUCACCCGUCUUAGUGGACUUACAUCUACGAGUCUAGAUCAAGGAGUUUACAUCACAACUAUUACCAUAUACUCUCGGGUUCAAUUCUCUCUAAACUAAAAAUGGAACCUAUACGAUUAAUGUGAACUAUCAAAUAAUGUACUAAGCUACGUAUACAUGUUAUGGUAUAGAGUCCAGACUAUUUAAUAUGUCUACACUCUAGAGCAAGAUUACAAUGUACCUUUUUCACUGUCGUAGACACCUGAGUCGCUGCCAUGUUUGGCUUUGUGAAUGUUUCUAACUUCAAUCGGAAACAGCAGAGAAAAUGACUUCCCCUGAACCACAUUCAACAAAAGAACAGACUCAUCAGUGUUGGUGUGAUCGACUCUAGUCUUAUUCUGUACAAAAAUGUAUAUCAAAUAAAUACAUUUGUAUCAUAUACCGGAAUAUUACAUCUCCAAAUCAAUCUUUGCUUCGAGUUUCAACCCAGAAAACACCAUGAAGAUGCUCAGAAAUACACGAGAAAUGUCUUGAUCCUAACAAGAAAUUGCCUUGCAAGUAAAUAAUAGUAUUCAAAGUUUCUACCCAAGAACAAUCCUAUCAACUUUAGAGAAGCAAAAUCCAACUUUGAUUCCUGAAACCAUCUUUGUCUAAUGACUACCACCUAAGCUCAUCCAGUCAACACUUCUCCUCACCCCCCACACACUGACCACCUACACUUAUCCUAAGCCCAGUAUAUCUUUUGUAGCAAGGGGGAACUGUUAUGAAUGUGAAUUCAUGCGAUGAACUGAUAAAGAAUGAAACCAGAUUGUCAAUAAACUAGUUGAUAGUAAACCAGAUCAUAGUAAAAUCACACCAAAAAGUCCACAUUUCAGCUGAAACCAAAUUAAGCAAAAAGGCCAAGAAAAGAUCACUACUUUACCUAAAAUUAGCAGAAGAGAAUACUAUCCAAUCCUCAGUUGCUGGGUUUAUAUAACCAAACAAAGAAAACAAUAGGGUUGAUAUAAAUGUAGGCAAAGCACUACUUCUUUACCUUCAGCCCAGUUUGCACUUUUUGUUUCAGCUAGUUGGUCCACAGCCACAUUACUAGGAGCACAAAGCAAAGCCUGGAGAAAAGGGAAAAUUUAGUGCGCAAGAGAGAGAGACAGAGAGGGAGGGAGAGGGGGUCUAGAUCACAACUGAUAUCAAAUACUCUCGGGUUCGAUUCUCGCUAAACUAAAAAUUCACAUAUGAUAAACUAAGCCACACACAUACACAGAACGCUAUUAAAUCGAAACAAGCUCAGCAAACAUGUGUUCCUGACUCAUGAAUUCGAAGACGGCUGUUGAUCAAAUCUCAAAAACAGGGGACACAAUGCUGUAAGUCAUAUAUUACUUACCUCCGGAUCUGGUUGCAUGCAGUUUCCAGCUUCAACCCAUUCAUCGAUUUCAAGCUCGUGAGCAAAAACGCCUCUUUCGUAUCCGAAAAUGUGCACCGCACUCUACUCCACCUUCAACCCAUUCUUCAGUAAAUCGAUUUCAAAUGUUUUGAACAUCGCCGCUAAUUCUCCCUCUCGAUGGCGGAGACGUGGCAAAUCUCCCACUAGUGUCAUAUUUACCCCCCACUCCCUCUUCUUCUCACCUCACCGGCGAUUCCAUAAAAGCCCUUCGCUUUUAACUAGACGGCGUCGAUGACGACGGGAAUGAGCGUCAUCUGAGAAAUCCCAUCGAUGUCCCUCAAGUUUCGUCUCCACCGAUGAAAAGCCGCCACGUGGUCGGGUCCCUUCAUGACGUACUGUACUACGGCGUAGUCCAGCGCUUUCCUUCUUUGUCAAUGUGGGAUUAAUCCCAGACAGUGUUCCAACAUUCACUUGGUCCAACCUCAUGCAUUUUGUACCAACCUGUUAUGAGAGCAGAUCCAAACUUCUCUGUCCGCAUCUUUGACUGUAAAGAGCUAGCUAGCUCGCUCUUAAUUGCCUCUUUAUAUUCCCCCUUCUCUUUCUUUUCAGACUCAUUCCAUCGAUCACCAAUGUACGCUAAUCGAUCAAUUAGUCACAUACUCAUGAGUCCUAACUAGCUAGCUCCAUCGAUCUAAACCUCUCCAGAGAUUACUCUCUUUUUCUUCAGCUUGAUUGGAACCCAAUUAUCAUAAACCAUUAAGCUAGGCUAUCAAGUUAAUAGAUUUUGAUGUGUUUUCUUCUCUACCCUAUGUCUUUCUUUUUCCAACUACCCCUCUUCCUCCGGAGUCCAGAACUAGGAUCUGGUCCUUCUAUGAAAUACUUGAUACAUACCUGCUUCCUCCUCUCCUAUCUUGAAUUGCUCCUCAGCUCCUACCUUGCAAUGAAACUUUGACCAUUCUGGCCGCGACCAGUGACCGAACCAGGAUUUAUAAUCUGAGAGGUCCGAUAUAUAAACUACUAGUUCGAGAAUAAAUUUGUGAUUUUUAUGUUAACACAACAUAUUAUUAUUAUUUUUAAAAAGCUAAACAACUAUUUACAUAUAUGUGAAGAAAAAAGUUAGUAUAUAAUAGACAAAUUAUUCGUCCAUACAUAGAGCUAUUAACCACAGGUACAACAUACUUUCAAAAAUAUUCCACCAAAGUUUAUUAUUUAUUAAGUUUGUUGUUGUUGUUUACGUACUCAUGUGGCUAAAUCAAGAUUUCCUUCAUAGUAAUUAUGUCGUUAAAAAUAGGUUUCCUUCGUAGUAAGUAGACAGCGAAAUGUUUUGGGGGGGGUUCACUUCAUUAAACUUAUCACUUUCUUUGUUGAUUUCGAGCUGUUAGCUAUCUAAUAUUGGCUAUGGUGGAAUCAUAAGGGGGUCUGAACCCCUUCAGGCCUUCAAAUGGUUCCGCCCCUAGCCGCGACGUAGUAGGUGGUCUUUCUUGUUCUUGUUCGAAAAUCAUUGUUACAUGUAAAAUAUAUAGCUGGCUCUCGGUUCUCAUAUCAAACGACUUCAUAUUUCAUUUCUGGUUUGAUUGCCCAACUUUGUUUAAGUCAUAGUCCAUUGAUGAAUAGCCCUUUGUAGUUUGUAAUUUGGUGUUGUAAAUUUGCAAUGGCUAGUAACAAAUCGUAUAAAGGUGCUUGAUGUUAUGAUCGCAAUUCGGCCGGAUUCUAUUUCAAAUUUUGAGUAUUUUUGUUUAUUAGAUUGUGAUUCAUCCAUAUACUUGAAUUUAUCCAUUGAAUUUAAGAUAUAACGACAGAACAAGUUGGCUGAAUUUGGUCAUUUAUAUAUACACUCCAGCCUUGGCCUGUUAUAAUAGCUUCUUCCCCUCAAGUGAGACGAAUAGCUAGCUAGCUGCUCAAAAAUGAUCGAUACUGUCCUACUUAAAAAGGCAGCAAAUAUAAAAGAAAAAGAAAAUCAUUAAGUUUACGUUCUUGAAUUACUUCUAUAAACAUUACUAAUUGUUGCAUGUCCGUACACGCAAAAGAAGAACCAGCAAUUUUUUGUUUUCUUUUAUUUUUUUGGUUGAAUAUUUUUGUUUAAGAAGAGAAAUAUACUUUGUAAGAUCCAAAUUAAUACAUGAAAAUUGGACAAAUUGUGUAGCCGCUAGCUAAUCCCUCGUAAUCACCUCCAAUUCUCCAAACGUAACGUCGCUUCCUUUCACCUCUUGUUCGUUUCUGUUGAGCCGUGCGAUAUAACUGUCUACAAGAAAGCCUAUCUACGCCCAAACUAAGCUCAACUUUCAAAAGCUCCGCAGAAAUCAAUCACCAUGGAUAUGAACAUGACGAUGAACAAUAUGACGAUGGAUAUGACUAUGCAGAUGAAUUUCUACUGGGGCAGAAACGUCACUAUCCUCUUCUCUAAGUGGCCUGGAAACGACCAACACAACCCAGGCAUGUACAUAUUGGCUCUCUUCUUUGUGUUUGCCAUGGCCUUUGCAAUGGAAGCUUUGUCCGUCUGGCCGACUAUCAAGCCCGGCGGAAGUGCGGUUGCGAUAGGGCUGACUCAGGCUUCUCUUUACGCGAUUCGCGUCAGCUUGGGUUACUUUGUGAUGCUCGCAGUUAUGUCCUACAACAUUGGAAUUUUCAUAGCAGCCGUGGCUGGACACACGGUUGGAUUGUUUGUAGCCAAGACUAGUGCUCUUGCCAUGACCAAGCCUUCAGAGUUCGAACCUUCAACGAGCAUUUGAACAUAGCUAUUUGAUGAGUAGUUAUAGUUUGUGAAUAAAUUAAUUACAUGUUUUAAAGAAAUAAUUUCACAAUUUAAAUCCUUCGUUUUAUUAUGCUUCAAGUAGAGCUGCUACCCUAUAGGUAAUAUCAUGGAAUUAUUAUAGAAAAUUACAUUGUUUCGUUCCUUUAUGUUUAAUUUUAUUUUCAUUUCAAGUUUCCCAUGUCAACUUUCUAUGUUUUGCCUGUAUUUGGGUGGUCUUGUAUGGAUGAGUUCACUCGAGCAGAACUACAAUAUUCACAUGAGCAUAUAUUCAUGUGAGUUUUAGCUUUGUCAACAAGUUUGAUUAGCGUUUCGUGUAGAUAAAUGAGAUUACAUGUGAUACCUUAGUUUCCAUGAACGAAACUAGACCUUAGUUCCCAACAUUGUGUCCAUCAAUUACAAAGGAUAAUGGAAGGUCUCAAAAUGACAGUGAAAUAGGCCAAUAUUAGUACAACUUAACGGACCCAUGCCAACGUACAAUUAGAUUAGAACUUAAACUACAAUCCUUCUAAGCAGCAAAGUUGCCGAGGGUGAAAAGACUUCGACUCUGUGAGCUAGCUAGCCUUCGUCGUUGUUGCCACAAGGCGCCAUUUGGACCUCCGCUUGACACACAGAGACGUACCCAGCCAGAUUAUUCUCCCAUUGCAUGCAUGAACACUACCAGAUCGAUAAAAUUCGAUUAGAAGAGACCACCGGCCAAUUCAGCUCCACAUAUAAACCCCUUCCUUGAUAUGUUAUUAUUGUUAUAGAUCAAUGAUGCGUGUUUUAAAUUGGCCGAUACGUGUCUGAAAAAAUUCAUUACAUCUUAUUUGUGAGCGUUCAUCACUCACUUGUCCAGUUGUGUUGAAUACAGUGCGUUUGUUUUCGUUGAACCUAGCUAGACAUGGUAUAAGUUCCAAACUGAACUUGUUUAUUUGUAUACCCUAAGUUCAAACUAAACUUGUAAGUAAUUACUAUUUUAAGUAAGGGUUAAAGCUGUGAGUCGAUCGCAACAGUACGUCACAACACUAGAACAUGUUUUGAUAUUUUCGACAUUUUUCUUUCUUCUUCUCUUUUUAUCUUUUGUGACAAAUUAUAUACAAGUCAUUGUGAUCGAUCUGUCAUUAUAUAUUCCUCACAUUUCACAUGCAAUAAAGGUCAACUCGGACAUGGUAAUCAUCUCAUGAAAUGCAAUCUUCUAACUGUUGGAAAGCAUUUGUAUGGGUUAGAGGAUACCGAUUUCCAAAUUAAUUAGGUCAUCUUUUGCAAUAUAUAUAGUAAUAGUGACCUAGAAAUAAUUAACCAUACAACUUAUGAAUUUCAUGAUUAGAAGAACUUGAUCAAUGAUGUUGGAGAAAACGUACUAGAAUGAAGGGGGGUAUCUGCAUCCCUCAAACUCUCAAAGGACAUAAUGCACUUAUAUGCACGCAGACUUACAAAUCUAUAAUAUGCACAUAAUUUGAAGUGUUUUUAAGAAUGAUGCACUUUGAAGUGUUUCUUAUCACUCAAAUAGCCAAAUGCACACGUUGUUUUUAGCUCUUGAACCUCAAAUACCAUCGAGAAUUGGCAUCCACGUACAAAUCGUUCAACUUAUAUUAAAUUCCAUAAUGCAUUUCAAUGAAUAUAUAACCCUGGCCAUUCCUUUCAUUCAACUUUCACAACACCGAUAACCUCCUUUAUAUUAUUUUCUUUCUCCCACACAAUAAAGGUACGAAGAAACAAACAAAAACCAUGUGAAAUAAAAGAACAGAAGAAUUUGAGCUAGCUAUAUCAGAAGGCCACUCAUCUCUUAACCCCCGUCAUCAACUACAAUGUCGUUGCUUUCCAGCUCCUCCCUUUACAUUAUAUACACACAUUUCUAUCAAAAACCAAACUCUACCUUGUUCACUUUGUCCAAAGCCACCUGAUCAUCCUAGUUAACUCUCUUUCCUCUCUUAAGGCGGUAUGUCGAUGCCACCGAUGGCGCCCAUGCCGCCCAUGCCGCCGAUGGCUCCCAUGCCACCGAUGCCGCCGAUGGCACCGAUGGCACCGAUGCAGAUGACUCCACCUUCGGGCGACCUGAGCAACACAUCCAUGAUCAUGAACAACAACCUCCACUGGGGCAUCGACGCCACUAUACUCUUCUCCGGCUGGCCAGGCCACCACCACCCCGGCAUGUACGUCUUAUCUCUCGUCUUCCUCUUCCUCCUCGCCAUCGCCAUCGAGGUUCUUUCAGUGGGGCCUACUCUGAAGCCAGCCGCCACUCCUCUAGUCUCCGGCGUCACUCAGACGGGUAUAUAUGCCCUGCGCACGGUUUUGGCAUACUUGGUCAUGUUAUCUGUCAUGUCCUUCAAUAUUGGAAUCCUCAUAGCCGUGGUGGCUGGCCACGCCCUAGGUUUCUUUGUCGUCAAGGUUCGUGCGCUUAACCACAUCGCCGGCCAAGGCCAAGUCGACUCGAACGAUCCGCUCAAAGUAUGAUCGACAAUGAAUCAGUGUGUCUUCUUCUUAAUAACGGCGUUGUGGUUUGUUUGUUAUCUUUUGUAUCAUAUUGCUCUUGACUCGCCUGGUUUUAAUUGGUUUGUUUAAGCUUUGUUCUGUGCGACCUUUCUUUCGUCGUUGUUUCUAUAGCCUUUUCUAUUAAAUUGUGCGUGCUUGUUGUGCUGUAGCAGUGUUGUAUUUUAAGCUAGCUAGUUUCUUGAGGCUAGCUUGUAUUGUAUAAUUGAUUCUCAAAAAGAGGUUAUAUUGUAUAAUUAAUUGCAUAGUUUUAAACUUUUAUUGAACGUCUUGCACUCUUGCGUAGUGCUCAAUAAAGCUAUUGUUGGAUUCUUCUACUCGGAUCUCUUACUUGAGUUACUUCAACGAGAACUCAUUUUAUGUUGAAGUCUAGAAUGACCACUUUUCAUUUUCUUUUUCACGUAAUAAAAUCCGUACGUAAUUAUGAGCUGUGAUCGAAAUCGAUUUAUCUCAAUUUGAAAAAUACACGUAUCCAUAGUUCGUUAUAGUAUACACGUAUCAUAUAGUUCGUUAUCUAUAUGAUUACCAGUAUAGUAUGAUUAGUAUCAAAACCAAACAUUGUUCUCAUCGCUACUCUAUAAACCAAAAUCUGGACUCCUCCGUUUUCUGUAAAUUAGUGUUUAGAAUCACCAAUACGUAGUUAGCCCAGCUAAGUGCCUAAAUUGAAGAAGCACCUUAUAUAUAUAGUUGGCUGGAGUUACAAUCUAAAUUGUAACAACACGCAUCACCAUAUUGAGGGAGGUAAAGGACGAAUGGGGAAGUGCUAUACGAUUAUGAAUGCAGAAGAUAUGGCUGGUGUUUGCACCCGAAACUAGCUAGACUACUCUGACAUCACUCUGUAAAUUCAGCUUAACAGUGACUAGUUCGUAGGUUAAUGUAAACUUUUAUGAUCAGGAUUCAUAUAGAAAAGGGAGUAAGAAAACGAAAGGGGGCUCAUAAGGACCCUUACAAAUCAACCCCGUUUUGACCUCGUUAACAAUAGAGCUGCGUAAUACAGUCACUUCUGAUUUUCCGAAAUUGUAUAUCCAUUGUCCGUGGAGUAUAGAACCUAGGAAGUGUGAUUUUACUUGGUAGUUGGAUCUCUGUUGUAGUCUACAAUAUCUCUGUUAGUCUUCCACCGUAAUCAAAGGAACCCGUCUAAUUAAUCCACUGGUUCAGCAAAUAGGCCAGAACAAAGACGAAUGUGAAAUUGAAAAGCAUGGUGGUCCAUCCUAUCCGUCCAAGGACUGUGAGCAAUCUGGCCCAGAAUGAGGUUUGCGGGGCUGAUGUUUGAGCGGCAUUCCCCGCAACUUCACGAGAGGUGUCCGAAGUAUCUCCAUCCAAAUCCUCCUCCUGAGCACCAUUCUUCUCGUUUACAUCUGCAGCCUUAUCUCCAUUUUCUUCGGUUCCAACCUCUGAAAUUUCCCCUGGCUUCUUGUCAAAUAGUCCCUUGAAUUGUUUCCGUUGCUUCUUCUCAACCUCCUGAUAUGCCAAGAAAAGACACAGAUGAUAUUGCAUGAUCGAGAAUUCUCACUGCAACUCAAACAAUGAAUUAAAUUUAUUCAUGCUCAACCCACCUGUUCUUGCUGCUUCACUUUAAGAAGAGCAGCUGUUGCAUCUGGUUCCGUCGACUUGUCAAGUUGUAUCAUCUAAUAGCGUCCAAGAUAGAAAUAAAAAAGAUGUAUGAUAAGAAUGUAUCAUUCAUCAAACAAGUAAAAUACCACUGAGUUUAAACAUUACCUUGUUGAAGUCACUCUUGGCUUCCUCAAAAUCUCCAGCAGCCAUGAAGGCCAUUCCACGGCGGUAGAGAGCCUUAACAUGACCAGGGUUUGCCUCUAUAACCUAGAAAGAUCAGAUACAUCACAAGCCAAGUCAAACAGAUUAACUUGGCACUGCAAUAUCAACUAUUUUGACCUCGUAUACUGUAUUAUGUAAUCAAGAUACCUUGUUGCAUGUCUCAAUGGCUUUUCUGCAUUCCCCCAUUUUAAUGUAGCAUGCAGCCACAUUCAGAUGUAGCAGAUUCUUCAAACCAGAAACAAGCGCAAAUUAUCAAUCACUGAUGUAGAUUUGUAAAGCUAUCAUACAUACAGGCUCUGUUGCUAAGUUAGAAAUGAUGAAGUGAAGAUAUUUCAAUCAAGAAUAGUUGGACAAUAUUCCCUUCAAGCACAUACUAAAUAUAUGGUAAGACACACAAAGUAGAGUGAAACACGCAAAGCAAGAUGCUUACCCUCGUAUUUGAAAAUGUCUUCCCUUCUUCAUCAUCUUGUGGAUUAACGUGAUUAAAUUCCCGAAGCACCUACAUGGCCCAGCAGAUUGGAAUUAAGCUCAAUGAACACGUUUUCAAGUAUUUCUAAUAGUUGGUGGUAUUGCAUCACCAGUUUUGGGGAAAAAACGAACUGAGCUGAUGGCACUUGGAUGCCAGUAAUAUAGCUCCUCAAUAGAUUGACCAUGAUAUAAAGGGAUAUUAAAAGUUACUUCCUACAGCAUAUAAAUUUACAGCAGGCAGCACACAACUUUGCAAUGGGAUCAAACAAAUGACUGUUGUAAGAAAUCAUCCUUCUACAUGCAAUUAUGCAUCAGAAAAUAGUGUCCAAAAGGAAUCAUGCAAAAUAUGCAUACAGUACCUUGUCAUACUUUGCCUUGGCAAGUUCAAAUUUUCCUUCUUUAAAUAGCCUGUUCCCCUAAAAUGAAAAUGACAACACAAUUCUAAGUUCACAUAAUUUAGAGUUUGAGUAGCCCACUGAAUUAAUGGGAUGCACUAAUAUAAAAAUAAUUCAAAAUACUGAAACAACUUUGUAUCUUCUGAACAUGAAUGUGCAUGCAUGAAAGGAUACAAAACUUGGAUCAGAUAAGAUUCUCCAUUAAUACACCCAGCAGCUGUUAGAUGGUUAUUUGUGGCGAAAAUCAAAUCUUAUUAAUACAUACUGUGUUUCUAAUCUUCUCUGCUUCAUCCAUUAUGCUUAUAAAGUCCAAACCGGUCCAAUCCUGCAAUCGUAUGAAAGUAAGGCAUUAAACACUUGGCUUAGUGCAACUUGAAAGGAAGGACCUAAGAAAAAGAGCUCUCAAGAACAUAUGCAGAUAAUCGUGUCCAGAUGACCAUGAAAUGAGAUAAGCCUUAGCAGUGACAUCAAAUUCUAGAGCACCCACAGCUUCCAUACAAGUCUACCUCUCUUCAGAACCACUAAACGUAAAUGUCAAAGAGAACCAUGCAGAGCCUUAGAGUUACUUUGAGUCAAAAGCUAAUUCUCAAAACAAGGUUGAUAAUGAAACCUCAGAUUAGAUGGUAUACCAAGAUGAUUACCUAAUACUUCAAUCAUCAAAUCAUGCAAACUUUUUCAUUACCCAUUCUCAGACAAGAUAUUUUCAUCUCAUACUGAAGCAACCACUUGGACACACUUUAAAUUCAUACCAAAAAAAUUAAAUAAUAGUCAUAGAUAUAACAAUCCUUAUCAUAAAAAUUACAUUAGUUAAAAGAUAAAACAUUACAGAAAGAAUAACUUUAGAAAUUACCCUUGGCAUCUCAAAACCAAGAAGCUCGAUUUCCCAUUGAAUAUGAGCCCCUUCAGGAACGUUAGCAGGCCUGGCGAUAUGGGGGAAAAACCAGUGACACAUUUGAACUGGAUGAACAAACGAAUAACGACAAGAGACUUCCAAUUUUGGCUUGCGUAUUAAUUUAGAGUAUUGUUGACGGCAAAUCAUAAUGAAUUACAGAAGGCAAGCUCGAAUUCAAAAGGUAACCUAGCGAACUUGUCAUAUGCAUAAUCAGGAGGACAGGUGACCAGAGCUAUCUCACCAGGCAGCAUCAAACGAACACACAUUUCGAACCCCUCAGGCACCUUCAUACACAAAUAAAUGUUUCAGUGCAAUUAAUUCCGCCCUAAAUUUGUUGAUAUCUGAAACAAGGUUCCAGAACAAUCUAUGCCAAUUGCAUCGUGCAAAUACAUAUAUAGCAGUACCAGAAGAAUGAAGAUUAAAAUCAAGCAUAAAUAUUUCUCCCCAGAGAUGGUGAAAAACUCACAAGGCCUUCACCAGAACAGAACUCCAAAGGCUGACCAUUGUUGUCAACUCUCGUAUCAAAGAAGACUGCCUUUUCCUCAUUAAGAAUCAUGCCCUUGUAAUGGACUUGUAGAAGGCUGUCGUGAAGAGGACAAUCCAUAGGAAACUCACCUGAUUGUUCCAAAAUAUGAUAAACAUGUUACAUUUGAGCCAUUUUGUGUCUGAGUUUCAUAUAUGCACAUAUUGGAUUUUAGGAAUAUACACAAAAAGUACCACUUGGUAUAAAUCACAGUGAAUUCGAAACAGGUGGCAUGACGCUAACGGCAAUCGCAUAUCAUGUAGCAUUUCAUGACCCAUAUUUUUAAUGAAAUUUAAUUUAUUUGAAAAGGGUUAAAAUUCUAAAACCACACCUUCUCCAUCACGAACACGCCUUUUAAUCAGACGCCCAUCUCCGAGCAUGUCUCGAACCUUUUAAUACAUAACAAUAGAGUUAGAUCAGAACCUCAAUACUUUUUAACCCACAGAAGAAAACUCCCUGUCAAAUUACCUACACUAUUAUUUUGAGACUAUGAUUGAGAAAUAAGAACUUUGCACACCUGAAUAAAGUGGACAAGCUCCACCUCAAAAUGAACUUCUUCAACACCAUCUACCACAGGUAGGAAAGGAGAUGAAGUCAAAUACUGACUGCUGACAUAUAUUAUUGCCUUCUCUUGCCGUGCCAUUGUACCAAUUCCCAUCUCAAGACCUUUAGGUAUCUAGUUUGUAUUUAAAGCACCAUAGUUAGUAAAAUGAAGUAGUCAAAUGCAAUUUUCUCCCACACAGCCUGAAAAUUGAUCAGGCCUUUUCUCUUAUUAUUACAGAGUGAAAUGUGAACCCAUCACGUAUGUCCAGUUAAGGUCAAUUUUAUUGUUUUUACACAGAAAAUGAACGAGAAAAACCGAACAUAGUAACAGCUGAAAGUUCACCAACCUCCGACUUUCCAAAGUUAAAGAAAAAUGGUUCUUCUCGAGUACAUGGAACAAGCACUUUCCCAUCAGCAGUCUUUGCGGAAAUCCUAAGAACGGUCAUAUACCCCUCUUUAAAUAGUUUAAGCAUAUUCCAAUUUGCAAUACAAUAAAACAGCGGAAGUACUAGUUGGGAACGGCGUAAAAAGGUUUAUACCAGGCUUUUACUUCAUAUGGUUCCCUCGGAGAUUCCCAACCCUGACCUUCGGUUAUUACCUGCCGAGUGCAAACAGGGAGUCCAUUAUGAAAUAAAAGUUACAAAUAUGGAGCAAAGAAGGUAAAAUAAAAUUCAUAAUUUGUUGUCUAAAUCAUCACCUACCUAACAUCCUCACUUCAUUAGAUCCUCUCUUUUUUUCUAUAAAUCAUAUCAUUUGACUUAUCAAAUUUGAUCACUAAUCUUAUGAUAUCUAAACGUUCUUCCAUCAACUUUUUGCCAUGAUGCAAAAGAGAUCUAUGCCCAUGCAGCAGAGCUAUAAUUUUAAGAAUACAUAUUAUCGUGAUAGACGCCAAUGACAACCCAGUACAAUUGUGGAAAAGCAUUUUAGUUCAUUAGAAUGCGCAUAACCAAUUCAAAUAAAAUGCAACAAUAUAUUAUUUCCAAUACCUUCUUCACAACCCCCAAGUCAUCACUAAUAACCUGAAAAAGAACAUAAAAGCCAAACAAGAUCAGAGCCAAUGUGAGGUCAGGAAGAAAGGUAAAAAGAUAAAACCAAUGUGUUAAUCACCAUCUAAAUAUCUAAUCAAUAGUUACAUAAGCACACACAACUUUUCAGCAGAAGAAUCAGUAAUAUUCACGUUUGAUAUGGAAUCAACAUAUGCUAGGUGGAGCUCUACAAUGCUGUUAACAUUAUGGAUAUAAAAUGGUGGUUUCUAUUCGAAGGUCUUACCUUGGCUUUGAAGAAAUCUAUCAUCUCAAUCUCAAAAUGAAGUUCAUCAUCCUUUGGGAAGUCUGUGGGAGCUGAUAGUGGGCAAUCAUCCUCACCAUAGUGCACUUGAGGUUUCAUUUUCAACUAAGUCAUUACACAAACAAACAAUUACAGUCAUAUACAAAAUGAACUAUAUACACAAGCACAAAUAACAUUUAACCAAAUAUGAAAAGGUUUAUCUUCUUCAAUAUAGGAUUUUCUACCCCAUUAAGAUGCUGUCUAACUUUUAGAAAGCACAUUUGCCGGUUGGCACAACAACACAGCAGUACCAAUUCAGUUUCAAAUUCACCAAUUUACACACACAGUCAUUGCCAGACAAAAGAACUCAUGAACAAAGAUAUUACCAUUGCAAUUUCACCCUUCUGCAUUGUUGGAAUUCCUUCUAGCAAUCCAACUAUCAUCUUGCUCUUUCCCAAAACACUUCGGAUGGGGAUUCCCUUGCCUGUUGACAAAUGAUUAUUAAACUCAAUCAGUGGAAUACAACAUUCGCAUUAAACUCAAUCAGAUAAUUCCACAAAACUGAACACAAUUUUGAAGGAAAAUAUCAAGAUAUCCUCUAUUAAUUGUGAAAAUGUGCUUUCCUAACAGGCUAACACACAAUUCAACUCACCGCCGUAUUCCGAUCUUGAAGAUUGAACAAUAACUCCAUCCAAUGUUCUAACAGUGAAAUGAUAAAUGACCUACAAAACAAACAAUCAAACUUAGCUUCCACAGUUUGCUUUCACACAGUUCAAUUGCUAUUUUAGCUUCAAUAAUCGCAAUGUAAGCCCAACCUGAUCACCAUCAGAAGGUGUCGAAUCACCUCCGCCAGGUCUGAUCACUGCUUUCAUCAAGCUUCCGGCCACUAUUUUCAUCCUCCUAAAACCAAAACAAAAUCAUCAAAAUUCCAAUAGCAUUUCAAAAUUUCCACAGAUUCAUUUCUAACUUGCUAAAAUCGAAGCUACCUACCUCUUCUCGUCAUCGGUUGGUUCUUUCUUCGGCUUCUCUGGCGCGGCGGCUUCAAUCACAGCCAUCUCCGAUCAACGUCGCCGGAAGUUUUAGAACGAUGAAAUCCCUAGCCGUACACGAAGCAAAGAGCUCCGGUUAGUUGAGGCAGUCGGAGUAGGAAGCUCCGGUAAUCACAGAGCUUACCUGACUGAUUGACUCAGAGAGUCGUCGAUUCUGGAAGCUUCAGUUCCCUAUUUUGAUUUUCAAUUUCAACGAACGGAUCACUUGACUAAAAUGGAGGAUGGGGCAGUUGAGCACGAAAGAAUUACCGUCCGUAAUUCGUACCUUUAUUUUACUAUUUUACUUUGCAGGGCGCCAUAUGUCGAGCUUCCGGCGGCGUCCAACUUGUUUUGGCGUUAGUAGUGACAAGUGGCACCACGCUAUUGAGAAUUUGACACAAAUUAUUGGGUUUUUUUUUAUAAAAAAAAAUACCCAUUUACGUAAAAUCAGCUAAACUAAUGCCUAAUUGAAUAAAAAACACAAUAUGGUUGUUGGACCUUCCUCAAAUGGUAAAUUUUCGAUUAAGUCUGCUACUUGGUUACAAUAUGAUUAAGUUCAGGAACAUGAUCAAAUACAGCUGCUAAACAAGUUAUGGAAGCUAAAUAUCCAACCAAAAGUUAAGCUUUUUGGUUGGCUCUUGAUCAGAGGCAGGCUCAAAACAAGAGACAGGCUCUCCAGGUUUGGUUUUAUUGAUAAUAACUCUUGCCCCCUUUGUAACAAUGAUAAUGAAACAGUUAACCAUGUUUUUGGUUAUUGUGAAUUUACUAAACAAGUUUGGAAUCUUUCUCACAUUGACUCCCCAGUUGAUUGGGAAGAGGGUUACCUCAAAGUUUUUAAGGAACUCUUUAUCUCUCAACCUUAUGAUGCUGAUUUGUUUGCAAAAAUGAUUACCAUUUGUUGGCAGGUCUGGAAAGUUAGAAAUGAUACUGUUUUUAGAGGAGGUGUUCCUAAUCCUCUAUCAACUACCUUAGCUGCAGCUUCAAUGAUCUCAUGUCAUACUAGUCUUAGCGAAAGAGUUAUGGGGGUGCAUUCUCAAAACCAGUGUGCCACUAUUAAGUGGCAAACUCCUCCUAACUCUUUUGUUAAAAUUAACUUUGAUGGAUCAGUCACAAGUAACUCAGUUGCUUGUGGCUUUAUAAUUAGAGACGCCAAUGGAAGACCGAUCUCUGCUGCCUCCAAUCGCAUUGGUAGAGCUUCAGUUCCAAUUGCUGAACCCGUGGCUUUGAGAGACGGCUUACUCAAAGCAAAGGAGAAGGGUUUUACUAAUGUUGAAGUUGAAGGAGAUUCAAAGUUGGUGAUAGAUGCAGUGAAUGGCCGCUUUGAACCACCUUGGAGAUUGAUCAAACUAGUGGAAGACAUCAGAACUUUAGCUACUAGUUUUGAUUCUAUUAUUUUUAGGCAUGUGUUAAGGGAAGCUAACUUUGUAGCCGAUGCUAUAGCUAAUCUUGGGCAUGCUUGUAAUUCUCCUAUGUAUUGGAAUGAUAGGAUUCCCAGUGAGGUUUCGAGAGCCUUACUAUUUGAUAUUGUAAAUGUCACAUCCCGAAUUUUGGAUAAAUAAAAAUUCCAAAUUCAAGGCAUGAUAACUAAAAGAAAAACAAACUUUACAACAAUUUAUUUUUACAACUUGUGGAAAAUAAUUUGAACCAAAUAAAACCUCCCUCAAACUCACUGCAAACUAGAAAGUAAACAAAAUGAACUAUGCCUAUCUGCCGCAGCCUCAACUCUGCUAAACCUGACCUGCAAAAACAACCUCUACACCAUGGAUUGGUGCACCGGGUUGUAAACAACAAACCCGGUAAGCUUUAAAAGCUCGUAUGAGUAAAUCUACAAAAAUGACUCAAUCCAACAACACAUGAAUAAAACUGGGAGUUCAUGCAUUAAAAUGAAUUCAGGAAAACACUUACCAUCAAGAGAAAUGAAAAGAAGAAAUUAAGAAAACGCAACAGUUCAAAACCAAACAAAUCAUAAUGAAAUCCUGCAAAAAGCGUAGUUCAGGAUUCCACUAAAUCACACAAUUAAAAUUAAAGAAUCUCCNNNNNNNNNNNNNNNNNNNNUAUCGUCAACCACCUAGAAUAGAAUCUCCACUUAGUAACAAACAAAAACAACAUAAACCGACUCGAACCAAAACUCAAGUCCUAACCCACAAAUUUGUCACUCGAGACAAAACCUCUCUCUAUACCUCAAAAAGGUCGCCUGAACAUCCUACACAACCUAUAAAACCACAAACCAGAUUUCUAAAAAUCAGAAAUACUCAAAAAUGGAAACCGAGACGAAAACUAGCAUUCGAGAGGGAAACCUUAGCAUGCAUCAUCAGUAACCAAAACCUACAAAACACAUAUCAACAUGAUCGUAUCAAAAAGUACUACCUAACCAACAACACAAACACCACAACCACCUUCGGACGCGCCGCUACGCGCUGCCCCUAGCGACUGCGCGUGGGCCCCACGCGCCACCCCACUAACCUUCGAAAACGGACAAACUUCCAACACCAAAAGUAUAGCUCAGAGCAAGGAGAGCAACUUCCAUACCUCGAGGUCGAAACCAAAANNNNNNNNNNNNNNNNNNNNNNNNNNNNNNNNNNNNNNNNNNNNNNNNNNNNNNNNNNNNNNNNNNNNNNNNNNNNNNNNNNNNNNNNNNNNNNNNNNNNNNNNNNNNNNNNNNNNNNNNNNNNNNNNNNNNNNNNNNNNNNNNNNNNNNNNNNNNNNNNNNNNNNNNNNNNNNNNNNNNNNNNNNNNNNNNNNNNNNNNNNNNNNNNNNNNNNNNNNNNNNNNNNNNNNNNNNNNNNNNGGGGUCGGGGAGGGAGAAGAAAGAGGGAAGGAAAUGGGUUCUGGAAAAAUGAAUGGAAACCCUAACACUUUCCUUAUUUAACCCGAAAAUCCCGUAAAGCCACGAACUUCCGCUUACCAUAACUUCCUCAUACGAAGUCCAUUUUACGCGUGCCAUAUGUCUACGAACUCGUAUCGUCGUGCUCUACAACUUUCGUGAAGAAAGUUUUCCGAGAAACCCAAUAGAUUAAAAAGUCAACUCUUGACCCUUCAAAAUAAAGCAUUUCCACGGAAAUAAAAACUUGACUACUUCCAGUCCACUCACUAAACCACAAAAUCAUACAACUCUUACUUAAAAAUUUCCAAAAUAACAUUAGAAACUAAUAUCAAAUUUCCGGGGUAUUACAGUAAACGUUGGUUGCCCUAGAGGCUUCUUAAUGUAAUUUAUUUUCCUUUUCAAAAAAACACAAUAUGGUUGUUUACCUGUUAUCCAAGAACAAGAUUUGAAAUUAAAUCAUUAGGGAAUUCAUUGUUGUUUACCUACUUGUUGUCGUGGCAUCAACUCUAUGCCUAUGAAUUUCAUUCUUAAAAUGUUCUCCAUCAAUACUUUGUUUGAGCAGGCCCAAACAUGUGAUUUUUAGAUCUGAGUCUAACUUUCAAAAUUGGGCCUUCAAAGUAUAGUAUUCAUUCAAUUUUAUUUUCUCUUUUUAAGAAAUACAAAAAAAAUUUCACGAACUAAAACUAUAAACUCAAAAUCUAUGGCUGCUCAUUUUUCUAAAAUAGCAACUAAUGAUAUUAAUAUAAUAGGUAAGAUUUUAUAUUCAUUUUUCUCUUUUAUAAUCUAACACCACUCUAAUUGGAUGCUAUUAAUUAUUUUUUAUUGUUUUUAACUAAACUAAUGUAAUCACACAAAGAGAAAAGAAAAUUUUGGGCCCCUAAGGUUCUGGGCCCUGAGUUCAUUGACUAUUAGGACUCUAUUCAGGUACAAGUCUGUGUCUGAAAGUCAUAUAUAUAAAUGACACUCACCGUUGAAAUUAUGCUACAUUCAGUCUGAAAAUUAUACUCUAUAUUGUUCUUUGGUCAAAAGUAUAAUAUUAACCUGAGUUAUGUUUAGGCUUAAUAGUUCAAGAAAGGUGGGAUUUGCAUUUAUCAUGGAUAAUGGUCACAUUGAACAUAUUCAUGCAAUGGAGGCUAAUCGGUAAUGGGAAAGAAUGGGCAAGCGGGGAAUUUUCAGCUCCCCCCAUUGUAUCAAUGGGGGAGCGAGGGAAAUGAUAAUGGGCCCCGCUCCUCUUUGUCCCUCCCUAUUUGUGGCAACAAAGGUGAAGCGUAUAUUAAUAAUGAGCAUAAGAAUAGUUUUAAGUGGACAAACAAGUUUGAAAAUGAUGUUCAUAUUAAAGAUAGUGAAGACUAUAGAGUAAGAGUAUCAUCUUUAAGUUUACGCUUAUUAAAACUCACUUGUUUAAAUGUAAAUUUGUAUUUGGAGAAGGGAAAAUUUUAAGAACAGUACAUGACAAACGAUCCGUUCUCAAUUUCAGUGUUUCAAGUUUCAAAACAAUCAAAAUGAUACAUGACGUUUAAAAGCCGACACACUUUUAACACAUGUCGUCAAUAACACCGUUAACUCUAUGUAAUUUCUCAUUUUUCAAAAUGUGGUUUCGAGUUUUCUUCAUUCUCUCUUUCUUUAUAUUAUGUUUUUUUUCUCUUUAUAUAUAUUUUUAAUCUUGUAAAUUCAUACCAUAUAUUCUCAAAGACUUUGUUAUUUUCUCUUGUAUGGUUUCUUUGCUUACUAUUCGUUGUAUUUGUAAGUUACUGGGUUUGGUUUUAAUGAAAGACUCAUAUUCAUCAACAACACACAAAAAAAACACUUUGUUGCUCAUCCCAAACCAAGUAAAACUGGGACAUAGCUUUCUCACUCUAAGUUUCCUUACUCAAUACCCACCAAUAUAUAUUCAAACUCUUUCUUCCAUAACUUACCAAAUCAAAUCAUCUUCCAACUUCCUCCUAUAGUCCUACCUUGAUCACCAUUUUUGUGUAUGAUGGGUUUGAACGGGGACUAAAAAGAGAGACAACAAUACUUGUUUCUUUCUUAUUUGCCUCUCCUUAUUAAUUAUUAAUUUUAAUAAUUUAUUCCUGCUAAAUUAAGGAGCGAUGGAUUUGCCCAAAGUUUAAUGAAAAACAUGUUAGAUAACAGAGAGACUGUAACGUGUACAUAUUUUUUAUUGAGAUUAUAAGUUCAUGUACCGUUAUGAUUGUUUUGAAACUUGAAACACCAAAAUUAAAAUGUUGACAAUUUAUCAUGUAUUGUUCUUAAAAUUUUCUUUUUUUAGACAUUAAGAAUAUUUCAACUCCCAUGCCAGUAUCAUUGCGUCUCGCUUACCAUUUUCAUAUAUUUCUCCUAAUCAAUAGUAUGACAAUCGAUUACCCAUGAGUCAAUAUUGUCGACCCAUGUUCUAGUCCGAGUGUCCAACCCGUCCAAGAGACAUAAAAACACCACAAGAUAAGACGAAAUGCUAGCCGACCUAGGCUGCUCUAGCUACGUACAUCGCCCAAACAAGUAGCAAGUAGCAAGCAUCAUGCUUCACCAUAACUCCACGCUUUUACUAUCACGGAUAGUUACUUUCUGGUACAAAAUACAAACCAGUAAUUCGUAUUGGAGCCCCUCUUAUGUCUAUUGAUAACUCGAUCCGUUUCCAAUUGACGGGUCUUAAUCGGGUCAGGACGAGGCCACCGUCGAAUUCCAAAACCUUUCACCAAAAUGGCAAAUAAAACAUGCCUCGAUUCUCCUGGGCAAAGCGUUAGUGCUUUCCAGGUUGCUCUGUAUAUCCAAUAUGGCCCACUGAGUCUAGUCCAAUAUAUCAGGUCCGUGUAAUGGAACCAAACAAAUACCAACAUGACUUGAUGUAUCAGUGCUUCCACAGCCGAUGACAAAUACGUCUCAUUCUUUUACAUGGACACGGGCAACUACUUGCAUAAUUAUGCUCCAAAAAUUGCAAACAUGCCAUAUUAAGCAACCACAUUGUCAUUGUAUCAUUUCCUAAGACACAUUGGUUUAAGGCUUAGACUCUCGGCUUAGGCCGUUGCUAAUAUUUUUUCUUUUUUGCCAAUCUCACUAAUCUUUACAUUCUCGAAAUCUAUGGGAGUGUAUAUAGUCUACCACGGUUGAAUGGUAACCGACAACAUGUGGCCAUGCACUUGACGUUUUAAAAGCCUCUGAUGACCCCGGUUCCAUCUGAUUUUGGUUUCUUGAUGUCAGUUUGGUGCGGUUUUGGUUGUCUCGUGCCUAAAAGUCCAACCCUAGUUGCAUGGUACUUAUAAGGCCUCAUUUGGCUCAUGUAAGGAAAUGUAAUUCCUUGAUCUUUUCUUUGGGAAGGGAAAGAGAGGGGAAAUGACAAUUCCUUAAUACAUUCAAUUGCGAUGUUUGGUAACAUAAGAAAAAUCAUCCAGACAAUUAGAUUUUGAAAUGAACCAUUUUCUUUUAUAUUUUUCAUUACUUCAUGAAGGUGUUUUCGUUCAUCCAACGUUCAUAAACGCAAGAAAUGAACAACUUUACUUUUUUAUUGGUUACUUUAUGCGAAACAAACGAUGCUCCUUACGCAGUUACGCAGUGGCGGAACUGUGUUUGGGUCUGGGAGGGUUUAGACCCCUACCAGCUUUUGCAUACCUCUUUCAUUAGCUAACUAAAUUACCUUAACAAUGACAAUUAUACUCUAUUUGAAGCCCCUUUAGAUAACAUUUUGGAUAUUCAUUCUCUUUUGAUAUGAUAUUUUAGAUAUUCUUUCUCUUUUAAUUUGAUAUUGGAACAAAUAAAUUCAUUUAAUCUUAACUUUGAUACUUGAUUGAUAUUCAAACAUUGAAUUUUAAUACGUAAAAAGCUCAAAAAAACAUUACUUUAUGUUAAUAAUUUGUUCAUUUUACGUUUCAAUUUGAUGCUUACGAUAACAUAAAAUAAUUUUUAUAUUUAGAUCGCGCGUAACUGUUAAUCCUGCCUCUGCCCUUGCUCUUACGUAUUCUGAAUCGAAGUUGUAAUUAAUCCAAACAAAGACACUGAGAGUGAGAACAAAAAAAAACAAAAGAAGAAAGGAGGCAUCUGACCAAGUCAAACUGACAAUCCAGCGAGAUGUAACGCACGCAUAUCCACUCACGCACCUCCUCCACCACUCAGGACACAUCAACCGACUUCCCCCUCCAAUUUUAGUAUAAUCCGUAACAUUCCCCAGCCGCGUCUCUCGCGCGUGUAAGGCCCCAACCCAAUAACAAGUAGUGCGCGCCAUGUGAUAUUAUUGAAACAGCCUUGCAUGGCCCCUUCGCGACGUGCUUCGCCACCACCCCACGCCGGCAACUACUCCCCUUCUUCCCAAACCCCUCCGCUCAGUCGGUCAGCCCCACCAUUCAUUUCUUUAACCCAAAAAAAAAAAAAUCUUGAUUUUUUUCGAUAAAAAAAAAACUUGAUUGAUACGCAGAGUUCCCAUAGCAGAAAAUCUCAAAAUAAAGCGCGCAAUUGACGCUCAUUGGCGAAUGCCACGUGGAGAAAGAAGGCCACGCGUUGGUCCCACUAACGACCACCUCGCGACGGCUCAUUCGGUGGUUGUGGUGCUUCUCUCUUAAGCAAAACCCCCAUUUCCAGCUCCAGUUCCGUUUUGCUUAAUAAUUUUUAAUUAACGACUAAUUAAUGCAGGAUUAACAGGUUAACAACGACCCACGAGACUAAACAAUCCAGCUUGCCGGACCUCGGGGAAACCAGAAAGUCUUUUUGUCAAGCAGCUUCUUCUAGAGCUACUGGCACUGCUACAAAGAAGUACUAUACUAAUUAACGUAUCCCCUUCCUUUAUUAAUUUAAUGAUACAAGUAAAACCAAUUAGGCACACUACCCAACAACAUUAACUGCUCGACAAACAGCACAGCGGUCAAGAAAAUCUAAAAACAAGAAUAAAAAUAUAAGAACACAGAAUUUGCAAAUACACCCUUUUAUUAUAUCAUAAUAAUACUGCUGGACAUGGUGUGUGGCCAGGCUGGGAACCCAGAAAUACACAAUUUGAAUUUCUGAAUUUAAAUUCACACCGAUAUUUCUAAAAUAUCCCAACCUAAUAUCCCAUGAACAAAAACCACAAAAGGGACCCCACCACUUCUUCGCUCCUUUAGUCCAGCCAGAAGAGAACAGAGAAGGCUGGCUGCUUCUGCUUGUGCCUAUUGCUGCAGCUUGGCACCAAACGAGGCAAGCAUUUAUUUUUCACCUAAAACCCCUAAAGCCCAGAUAACAUUUCCUUCAUUCUUCUUCUUUGUUCCCACUUUCCAGCAUUUCUUCCCUGUCCUGUCUUUCUCAAAACCCCUAUUUUCUUUUGUCCUACACUUCCUAAUACUAUUAACCCUGUUACCUUUCCCCUUUACUUCUUCCUAAAACCUUGUUCAAUUUUCCUUUGUCCCUAAACAACCCCCCUAAAAACCCAAACACACCCACAGAAGCUAGUAAGUCCACUCCUGAGGAAGCCUAAUCUCAUGGUUCACUGGUGCCUGUGGCCUCAUCAUGCUGCGAUUCUGCUGAGCCAUGGCAAUUCUGUCAUUCCGAAGCCGAAGAGCAAGUUCUGCAAUAUCCAUUAAACCAAAUCAGUAAAAACCCAAAUAGUAAAAUCAGCGAAUCAGUUAAAUUAGGAGGACAAGUUUGUUACCAUAGUCAGGAGUGUUUCUUCCGUUGAGAGGGAUAUGGACUUGAGCCUGUGACGGUGCGCACACUUCCUCAACGUUCAACUUCAAUGCAUGCACUACCUUUGCUGGGACGAAAACCGUUGUGCUAGCUGUAAAAAAACGCCCAAGAAUAAGUAGUGAAUAACAGAAUGUAAAGAGCCCACCAAAAAAAUUUAAAUCACAAGACAGUCCACCAGACCAGAUCUGGAAUUUUCAGGGAAAUUUAUUUCUUUGGCACAUCAGAACCACCCAGGCCAUAAAAAUCAAAGUUCCCCCCAAAAAUCUUAAUGAUGUUGACCAACUGGCUUCAAUGAAGAAGAAAACAAAAUUUAUUUGUUGGGUUUUUUAAAUUUUUUUGAAAACGAAACAAAAUUGUGGGUGGGGUAGAGAAAAGUGGACCGACCUUGUUUGGGUUGUUGCUUCUUGCCGCGAGGAAACUCAGCUGGGGCUCCGAUUUGGCGGGGCAAGAACACACCAGUACCAGUAGACUCCUUGGCUGCUCCGACGACAGCAGCACCUCCGAAUCUAGGCCCAUUGGGCUGAAACUGUUGCCGUUGAGCUUGUUGCAGUGGAGGCCAAGCCGACGGCGAAAGACCCAGAGGCCCAUUGUUGGUGUUCCUGACCCUGUUCUGGACCAUCAGAUGUUGGAAUCGUUGGUUCGCCUGAGACUGAGCAAUCGCCGCCGAGAGGUUGUUCUUCAGAAUCUGUUGCUGUCUCAACCGCUCAAACUGUAACCAAAAAUAGGCGAAAAUUUAGGGACUGAAGCAGAAAUGGCGAAAGUGCUGUUUCGAGAAGUCGAAUUCUUUUUACCUGCAAGUGCUUCUGGGAAAGCGACUGCUGAUGGUGCUGGAGGUAGUACCCGAAAUCAGAGACAGCGACCGGAGAGGUCUCUCUUGGAGCACCCAAGAUGCCUCUGCCUUUUUGGUUGAAACGCAUAGCUUCUUCCCGGAUGCUCAUCUUGGCCACUUCCCCUGCAGCCGCAUGUAGCAGAUCCCAAGUGGCCGGCGGCGACUGAGCGUUCGGGCUUCCCCGGCUCGAGCCUUGUCCGCCGCAGCUGCAACUACUCCCGGCCGCGCACAGAGUCGAUUGCGGUGAGCCAGACGAAACCCACGGCUGAAAAACGGUAAAACAUAACCAGAAUCAGAAUCGGCAUGAAAACGCACCGUUUUGAAAAAUAAAUAAAAUAAUUAAGCUUCAGUUAUUACCUUGGAGCUGUUCUUGGAGCCAAGAACCGAGUCAUAGCGCUUGAACUCAUCGUCGAGAGAGGACUGAGCCAGGUGGCGAGUCAAUCCAGCAAGAUACUCCUCCUCGUCGCUCUCAGUCUCGCUGGACUCCACCGUGGAAGCCCCAAACGCGGAGUAAGGAAACUCGAAAGGAAAGAGAGCCGGCUUGGAGUCAGCAUCAAUGUCAGAGCCGAACGAGCUCAUCUUCCGGCUACUGGAGCCAAACUUGGGGCUGAUUUCGCCGUCAGAGUCGGUCAGAAUCUCCUGGGGUAACCAAAACGCGGCGUGGUCGAACUCAUCAGCCAUGAGCAAAGAGAGUGAUGGAGGCUUGCUGCUGGGUGAAGCUAUAAUAAUAGCCUCAGGGUCCCAAAAGCCCAAAGCAAAAGAAGCAGAGCAGUGUGGGGGGGAGUGUAGAGAGAAACAACUACGGAGGAGGAUGGUGGUGAGUGUAGAGAAGAAAGAAACGAGAGCCCCAAGGCCCCUUUUAUUUCUCGCGCACACACCUCUCUCUCUCUCUAUUAAUUAAUUAAUUAAUUAAUGGUUAAGAAACAGUGACCGGGAAGGGGAUUACACGCGGAGAGAGUGGCGCGUGGGAACACGCGGAGACUCCCCAGAGGGGGGAAAGUUGGGGACCUAGAGGGAGGAGGUGUCACGAGAUCCACCACAUGUGAGUGGGUGAUGUGAAAGAAAUUCUGAAAAACCAGUGAAAGCGUGAAGCCGUGGCGGCCCACAGACAAGGUCUCUCCCUGAGCGGUUAAAACCCAUUAUUACCUUCCCUGAGUUCCAUCAGAAGCUGUCCUCAGGAAAGAGCAAAAAGUAAUUACUUGUUACUGCGGGAGAGUAACUGCCAUUUGUACUCUAGGUUCAGUUCCACUUGGCAAUUCCCCACAUUGCCCUCCAUGCAAGACCCUCUGGUUCUUUGGAUCCCUCUGUAUGACCAAAAUGCCCCUCUGGUUUCCGAUAAGGUUUUGUGCACUUGUGGGUUGGUCACUUUCAGCUAAAGCCUGCUGCGGGAGGAUCAAGCUUUGGCAGAAGGCGAUCUUUGCGCAGAGAGAGACCCAAUGGGUGGAAACGAUUUUUACUGUGGGUUAAGGUAAUAAUGAAGAGUUGUCAUUUCUCGUCUUGGGGUGAUAAAGGUGGUAACUUUGUUCGAUUCACGAGCCAAAUCCUCGACUGCGUCAGGUGGUAAUGAUUUGUUCUCUGGAUGAGUUUGUAAAAAUUAAUUACCAAGAACAGUUAUGCGCUAAUCACAUGGAUUAGGAUCAUUUGGAGGGUAAUUAAGUAUAUGGAUGUUCAAAGUUUACAGCUCAAAAUGAUUGGUGAUUGAGGAUUCUUUUACCGGCUUCGUCAUAACUCACUUACUAAUCAGGCAAUACCUUUGUACUUAAGGAUGCAUUUCGCUUAGUCUUCGCAUUUAAUCACAUUAGUUCAAACAGAGUGAAUGAAGUGUUCUCCUUUCAAAGAAGUAACGUUAUUUCCUUAUUACGAUAGUCCAAGAAAGUUACCUUACUUCCUUAUUACUAUAGUUUCACGUAACUGAAAAUUAACUUUUUUUCUCUUCUUUUUUUACCUUUUUUUUUUCAACAUAACGUCAUAAAAUCUGUAAAUUUAAAAUUUAAAUUUCAAAGUAGGUUUUAUUCUGCCACUAAAACGGUGGUUGCGUCCAUUUCGCUAUCGUAGACAACGCAUACAAUGUGAUGAGCGUCACAAACCUCGUUGAAUAAUUUUGUUUGUCAGACUAAUACAGAGUAAUACUUGUUAAAUAAUAUUCACCAACUCUUUUACUGUCUCCAUUUCCUUGAAAUGAGUCAAUUGCCACUUUCUUAGUCCUCAAGUAAAAAAGAUACAAUAUAAGUCGUUCUGCACAUACAUAUGUUGUUUUAGUGUGUCGUUUUACCCUCUCUGUUUUUUUUACUCAAUUACCCAACUCAUCCCUCCAAUGAUCGACUUGCUUCAAUUCGAAGUUACUCACUCCAUACAAGUUAAGGUGGAAAAGCUUCGCAUUUUGUAAUGCACAAGUUGAAGUUAUGUGUUGCAGACAUGGAUAUUCCGUAUGAGGCUAAGAAAAAUCGAAUCAUAUAUCUCCCUUUACACUCAAAAGCACACAUUUGUGAGUUGGGACGGUGCCAUGAACAUACCCAAUCCACGUUCGGUCAAAAAAGUGCCACAUUUUGUUACAACCCUAGGUACCUUUCCAACUCGUCUCACUUAUCCUGAAUUUUAGUCUAUGUAGAUGCUACUCUCUGGGAUUCGUAUCAAAAACACAGAGCUUCAAAACAAAGUGAAUGAAAACAGAACGAUAUCCAGAAAAGGGCAUUAGGGAUUGAUGGAAUGGAGGUGCAACCAUUCGGGGUUUCGAAUCAACAUCUUGACAAAUCAAAAGUCCAGGUAGCUAGCCAUGACAUAUCCCUUAAUAUGGUAAAGGAAUAUGAAUUCUGUUUCUUAUAUUGUUCUUGAUUAAAGUUUGUAAUGUAUGCCUUCUGUCUUCGAAGUAGGACUCUUUUUUGGUGUAGAUAUCGUUAUAUAUUUGACUCUAAAUGCCAGUAUGCCAUUAUUUGUCUUACUAUAUAUCCCAACUCAACUCAACGAAAACAAAAACAAGAAGAUAUCAGUAUCUCGCCAAAAAUAAAAUCAGAAUCUCUAUCCAUAUUGUUACUAUAAGUCUACAUGAGAGUCAUUCUAGUGAGGACUCUUAAGUUGAGGACUAGUUGAAGACUUUUCAGUUUAUGGUUUAAAAGACCAAUUUUUCGAUCACAUUUUAACAUCUCAUCCGUUCAGUUUUUAGGUUUAUAUGAGUAGAUAAUUUCAACAAAUUUUCAACCAAAUUGAUGUUCGUUAAGAUAACAAACUAGAUCAAAUUAAUAGACAAACCAAAUCUGUCAAAUAUGAACCGUUCAAGUUUAUAAUUGAUAAAUCACACUUAUGUAUGUCUUAACAAUUUGGGAAAAUGCCCAAAUAUCCAAAAACAGGGUUUUUAAAGCCCCUUUUAAUGAAAAUCUUAAUCACAUGCUCAUUUCAAUAAUUCUUAAGAAAAAACAUUAUUACCUUGUAUAACUAAACCCACACAAAUCUUCUCUCUCUCUCUCNNNNNNNNNNNNNNNNNNNNCUACUACUACUACUACUACUACUACUACUACUACUACUACUACUACUACUACUACUACUACUACUACUACUACUACUACUACUACUACUACUACUACUACUACUACUACUACUACUACUACUACUUACUACUACUACUACUACUACUACUACUACUACUACUACUACUACUACUACUACUACUACUACUACUACUACUACUACUACUACUACUCUCUACUCUCUCUCUCUCUCUCUCUCUCUCUCUCUCUCUCUCUCUCUCUCUCUCUCUCUCUCUCUCUCUCUCUCUCUCUCUCUCUCGACUGUCAUUGCCGUAGUCAUUAAGAUAUGGCAGACUACGGCAGCGUCAACAUCUCUCCGAAGUACGUGAUCGUGUCAACUCUCGGCAACACCCCAACCUCCAACGACCUCGCAUUGCUGCGGAUUUAAAUUCCGCCUCAGUUUGAGUCACGCUGGCGACGACGACAAGUAAUUGCGGCGGGAUCGAACCGGAGAGAGAAUUUCCUAAGAGAUGUAGGGUUAAGAGACUAUGAAAUUACUGGACGACUCAGGGAUCUCGCCGGUGAGGCAUCGAACAGAAGUUGAAGGCUAAGGAGCCUCCUUGUUCCAGCACGAAACUCCUCUCUAAUUGCAGCAACGUCUGAGCUUGUUUUAUUAAAUGGAGUUAGAUUGUUGGGAUCUGAGAAUUCUGGAGGAUUGAGGGUUCUUCGAGGACUUCUCAUGGCACUAUUUGGUGGUAAUUUACUCCUUUUUGUUUGUAAUGUUUGAUCAAUUAUAGUUUGAUCAACUUGCUUAACGACAAUGCUGCUCCAGUGGUGUCAAAUGUUAAGUUAUUCUUUGUAUGAUUAUUCUUUGGUUGUUAAACAAGAUUUUUUUUCCUCUUUUCAUCUUGUUCAUGAACUCAGCUUUCGACAAUAGCCUUUUUAGAGGUUAAUAAAUAUUUAUUGGAGGUUAAAAAACAUCUAUUGAGGGUAGUAAAUUACUUUUUAAUUAAUUAUUGGGGUCAAUAACUAAGUUAUUAGGAGUCAGUAACUGAUUAUUAAGGGUCAGUAACUGAUUAUUAGGGGUCAGUAACUGAUUAUUGGGGGUCAGUAAUUGAUUAUUGGGGAUCAGUAACCAAGUUACCGGUGACCGAAAUCCUGUGACUAGAGAAAAUCUGAGUUAUCUAGAGGUCAAUAACCAGAGACCGAAGAAAUUCCGGCAACCGGAGUCUAGCUACCGGUGACCGGAGUCUGAAGAACGGUGACCGGAGUCCCGCGACCGGUGACCAGAGUCCGGUGAGGUUCCAGCAAAGUCUUCUCACUCUUUCACUUUCUCUCUCCUUAUACAUGUUGAAGUAGUGAGAGUAAAAUUGUCUUGAUAAUAUACAAAAAUUAUUAUUUUAUUAUGACUUUUUAAUAUAUAUUUGUGUAUUUGGGCACAAAUAAGUACACCUUAUUAGGGAUGGCAAUGGGUAGGGUAGGGUACGGGGAUCAAAAUACCGUACACAUACCCUUUUACAUUUCUCAUCCUCGUACCCAUCCCCGUACCCGUAAUUAGAUAAUGGGGAUUCCCCGUACCCGUACCCGUACCCUUUGGGGAUUACGUUUCCAUACCGUUCCCGUACCCGUUAACAAUUAUGUAUUAAAUUAAUUUAAAAAAAAUGAAAUACAAUUAUAUAAAAGCAUGAAAUUAAAAUCAAAUACCAAAAUAAAUAAGUUUCAUUCCAAUAAAAAUAAAUACAAGUCUUGGUUAAAACAGAACAAUACCGGUAAAUUUCAUUAAGAGAAUAACAAUAUAUAAUAAAAAGGAAAGUCCAUUAAAUGUUUAUUAAGAGAAUCACAAAUUUUUUUACAUAAAUAUUUAUUUAUAAAUUAUAUAUAAUAAUAAAUUAUAUAAUUAUAUAUAAUAAUAUUUUCAUCUUUAAUGGGUGGAGAUGGAGACGAAUAUCAAAAUACCAUACCCGCCCCGUACCCGAUUUAAGAAUCCGAAUACUGGGGAUCUCCAUCCCCGUUACCCGUAUAUCUUCCCCGUUAGGGUCGAAUACCCGUGGGUACCCUACCCGCUGAGGAUUAUUGUCAUCCCUACACCUUAUAUUAGAAUGAGUUUAUGUCUAUUAAAUUCAUUGGAAUUGGCAAUAAGGGGUUUAAAUUAGUACUAAAUGGGCAUUUUCCCUAACAAUUUUCAAUAUAACUGAAAAUUUGGAGAAUUGAUCUACUCAUAAAUAUUUAUAAACUAAACGGUCAAGAUGUGGAUAUAAGAUCGAAAUGUGGGAUAAACCGAAAAGCCCUCGACAAGUCCUUAACUUAAAGGUCCUCAUUAAAAGGGCUUCAAGUCUUACAUAUACACACGUACAUUGAUACACACAAAUAUAUAAUGAUCUAGAGGGUGACAAAAACGGAUCCGUCGGAUCGUACCUCAUAAUUUCCAUAAAAACUCUCAAGUGUAAAUACUUUAGAUCUAGAUGUAUAUCAAUUUCUCUUUUUUACAUGCUGCCAAAUUAUAUUGUGUUACGUCGGUUAUUGGUAAUUGAAUCAGACACCAUGAUCGUCAUAAUAACUAGUUACCUCGAAUUCAACUUUGUAUAAAUUAGCAUUGACAUCAACAAUAAUGUCAAUAAUUAACUGAUCCCAUGCGAUCCAAACAUAUUGAUUCGACUAUAUUUGCCUAUAGCCUAUAAUGGCCAAUACACAAGCUAGAUUUAGUCAUUUUUACCAGUUUCAUCCAUUGUUGAAUUCGUUGGCGAUCGAUUUGUUGAUUCUCAUUGAUUUAAUGAUAAAUAUUUGGACGAUUUUAGUUUUCACCGGAAAAUAUCUCUCAUUUAGCUAGUUAUUAUAAUUUUAUAAUUUUUUGAACGUUUACGCAUGUUGUUUCAUUAGUGUAUAUAAUUUUCGUUACUUAUGCUUGAAAACACGAAAGAACCGAACCAGGGGGUUCCAUCAUAACAUUCUUGUGAAAACAAUGUUACCAUUGAGAUGACUAAAUUCAAACUAACUAUGUCUUUGCUCGUUUUGAAUGAACGAACUCCUUGCUAGCUACACCUGCAACGUGGAGACAUGAGAAGAAGAAGAACAACAAGAAUCUCAAUCUCCGAUGACAUGAGGCUAAUGGCCUAAUGCAAAUCUCAUGAUUCGGCAGCUCCAUCAUCAUCAACUCUGUUAGUUUAUACGAAUGUUGCCGUGGUCAACCCAUUUCUUUCCUCCCUUCUAUUUGUUUCCACGACUGGGUUUGUUCACAUCUCCUUACGGCGUGUCGUUUGUACUUGGCCAAGUAGUUGUGCCGGCGUCGGACGACUCAGAUCAUGAACUCCUUUUAAUAGUGUUUAGGGUUACCAACAAAAUUAGUCACGAAACUUAAAGGAAAAAAAAAAACUUAAAGAAAACCAAUGAUUAACAAGUGUAUGAUUGAAGAGAAUAAUUAUGGAGCUAUUAGAAGGGACGUGCUUACUGGUUAGAGACAACUAAACAACACAAAUAAAGAAGUGAGCUAAGUACGUCCCAAAUAUGUCUACUGACUGGUCAAUGAUUCUCUCUCUUUUGGUAUGUAGAAGAGCUAACUCUUGCUUGUUUUUUACGAGACUUGACAAUCCAAAUGGACCGUUCACAUGACACUAAUAUCAAAACUUUGUAAGAAAAUCUCUCAAGAAAUCUAUGAACAUCGAAUUCGAAAUUGACAUGACAAUCAUUGUAAAUGAACCUCUCUAACUACUAUGGUUGCAAGCAAUAGAUUUAUAAAUUUUCUCUUAAUGUAAAACGAUGCACGUCAACUUGUUUCCUUUGUGCUUCGUGUCAUAAGAUCAAUUUAGGACGAAAACAACUCGCUUCUCAAUUGAGAUAUUGAGGUCCAUAUGACUAGUGACAAAUCGAUAAUUUUUCUUCUUAAUUCUUUAAUUUAAAAUGGAUAAUGCGUCGCUUCUCAAUAGAGGUAUGACAUGCACUUGUACCUCAUGCGUUUAAGUUUUUUUUUUUUUUUUUUUUUUUUUGGGUAUAAACUACUCAAAUAAUACAAAGAGUCUAUUAUGAGUUGAACUCACAACUUCCCACCUAUAAAGAGGAGAUUAUGCCACUAAACCAAUUGAUGCUGAGCGGCGAUAAGUUGUUAAGCACAUCAUACUCUAAUUCACAUGUUUUAUUGAAGUUAAUUAUCAAAUUAUUGCACCAUCUACAAAAAAAAAGCCGAAUAUAUAUACUAUCACUGGUUUUAAAUGUGAUCCACGACGAUUUUGUUGAGCAUGUUGUGGAUUUUAUCAAAUCCCAUCGUAUCAUGAACACACUUUAAACCAUGAAUAUAAACACACUUUAGCUUCCUUUUGAUUAAUCUUUCAUAUCUUUGUAUAAUCGACGGAGCAUGCUUGCUACAUCUCUUUCUGUCCGAUCAAGUCUCGCACCAUUGCUUCUGAAAGCAACCUUUGCUUCCAUCUUCAUUUAGCGGGAACUUUGAACUCUCCCGCCGAAAGAGAAAGUACCCAAAACAAAUCAAGCUCAGUCAUUUUCACACCAUAUUAUUGACUAAUCUGUCCAUGUAGUUGUUUUCUAGCUAUGGCUGAAAAUUCCUUAGUCCACUAAUUUGGACACAGCACAUUAACCAUGUGCAUACGAAGCUUAUGAUAUAGGCAGCCAUGUGAGAAAACAGGUACAUUACCAAUAAGAAGUGCACCAUUUUAACCAAGUACACUAGAUUUCGCACCUAAAUUAGGUGACUAAAUUUGUCUUUUUUGAUGAGAAAUGAAAAAUUCAUUAACAAGGGAAAAACUCAAAUUACAAAACCUGCGCCAAGUACCUAUAGUCUAGUGGCAAAGUAUCCCCUCAUAUGUGAGAGGUAAUGAGUUUGACUAACAAUAGACUCGUUGUAGUAUCUCAGUUAUUUAAUUGAUAAAAAAAUAUAUAUAUAAAAACUUGUAAAUAUAAGACCUAAAAACUACAAAUAACAAAAAGCAUAAGUCUCAAACCCGAUCAAACUAAAAAAAUAUUUAAAAAAAUCAACAGCUCGCUAUACUAUAUAUCGAAGAAUACGUAAAUAAACUUUUAACUUGGAAGAAAUGAAUAAUUGCAUGCUCGCGCCGUUUGUUCCAUUUGGCUCUUAGCCUCGGACCCAAACUUUAAACAUGUGCUUAACGAAACGGUAAGUUGAAUGCAAUCUGCCAUAGCUAAAAGCCUAAAACUAGGUUAGCCAAUUUGUGGAGUUGAGGACGUGUGACAAAAUUAGAAUACAAGAACGAACAAGCAUAAGAACAAAAAAUACCGCCCACUUUUGUAUAUUCAAAUGAGGACAUGUCUGAAUUGAAAUUUAGUAUUGUUCGUUUUCUUGCUUAGCAAAUUGCAAGGGACAUGUCCACGACCUGUCUCGUAUUUUGAAAUUGAAUUAUACUUUACCAAAUAAUUGGCAUCCUCUAUAGUGGAAUAUUACCCACCUAGUCAUGUAUCAUUUUUGGGAUCAUAUUGUCUAGUUUAUAUUGCGUUUGCAUGUCCAAUUGUCUAUGUUUGUGUGCUUAAUUGCUUAUCUAUCUUCUUCUUCUUCUUUUUUGUAAAGUUAUGGUAGUGAAUGAGAUCCUUAAUUUCAUGAAAAUGAUCUUAAAUGGGUUUUUUUAAAAGUGCUUUUUAGCAAUAUGUAUAGUGCGAUGCCCCGAAACUAAAUGAUAUAUAGUACCAUUAGUACCAUAGUUUUAUCAAUACAAAUAAUAUCAUCUAACGCUACACUUUCCUUGUAACACAUAACGGGGACAUUCCAUUUGCUUUCGACGUGUUAUGGCCCCAUAGCCUUGAGGGAGUCCCAAGUUGAUCAAUCUGGGUUUUAUUUUGGUAGUGCGGACAAACUUGGAGAACAAAGAUCACCAUGAAAAACAAUAAUAAUCUUCCAAAUAAAUAUACGAAAUAAACAUGUCAUGACUUGAGAAAAGAAAAGAAAGCAGUGUGGAACUGUGGACUGUGAUUGAAGCAGCGAGUGGAGUGCAUGGUGGUGUGUGGGUCUUAGCUAAGGUUGUAAUCUUGAGAAGGAAGGGAUCUAAGUGUGUAUAUGUUACUCCAAUCAUAUAGUUAGGAGUUUGAGUCAUCCUUAAGCAUACUAUGGCAUUGUACUAUCAUUUCCUCUUUCGCCAUGCCAAUAGCAUUACACCAUUUUGUUUGCCUUUUGCCUUUACGUUUUCAUCAACUUUUCUCCCCCUUUCCUUAUAUCCUUGUAUCUCUCCACGGACGACGGUGCAUGGUCUCUCUUGUGGUGAAUCCUUUUUGAUCAUAUCUCCUUUUACUUACGUGAAAAAAUUGUUCAUGUUCGGGAUUUUUUUUUCGAAUCUCGAUCAAACUAGCUCAUUUGGUUCUAAUCGAGUAAUCGUAUAUAAAAUUUAAAGUCUGGUUGUUCGCGCGUUCAUCUAUUUGAUGCUAUUAUAUACAAUGAUGCAAGUACGCACAAGAAUCUAUUUAUAUCAAAAGGACAUAUAUACAUGCUGAAAGUCUGAAACAAUGGUGGCUCUGGCUCUGUGGCUCAUACUUCAUUAUUAUCCAUAUGUACUUCAUAAAUUAGAGCAGCAGCUUGAUCCAAGCAUGGUAAAGGCUCUUCACAAUUACUUGUAAACUAAAACUCACUAUAUUUAUUUAUUUUUCUUUCGGGGUGAAUCUUUCUCUAUAAAAGAUCCUAAAUGGAGAAACAAAUUUAGCUGAUCAAGUGAGCUAGUUCCUGUAACUUCUGUUUUGAUCGAUCAGCUUUGGUCAUGGUGGGUGGCUGUGGCUCAGACUUCAUCAAUGUUCAUCGACUGUACUUCAAACAUGGGCAGUAGUAGUAGUUCGAUGACUUCGAUCCAAGCAUGGACACGCAUCCUCCAUCAUCAAUCUAGUAAUUCAUAAUGAACAACCAGUGUAUUUGGUAGGAAGGAAAUUAAAGAGAGAUCGAAAAUCAUCACAGACUGUUGCAAAUUAUUAAUCAAAGAGAAUGACGCAGACUGUGCUUAUUGCAGAAUAACUACUACUACCACUCGAUCAAGGAGAGUAUUAAAUCACAUACAUGAUCGACCAAUAAGUACAAUGAAUUCCUUUUGGUAAAGCUAUAUCAUUUCAUAAAUACAUAAACCAAUAAAUCGAACUACUUUCCCAACUUUCACUAUCUGUUUAUCCUCAUCGAUCCGUACAAAAUUCCCAGAUUAGUAUUUCUGAGAGCAAGCUAGCUGUUCAUCAUGUGCAAUAUUGCUUAGCUUGACUAGUGUCGUAUAGCAAUGAGAUGGGCGUCUCGUUAAUCCAAUAUUAAACUAGCUCCCAGUAAUUAACUAGUUAAUUAACAGAGAUUAAGCUCUGUAUGGAAGUCCAGCUGUGUUUAGGAAAGCAUGCAUGCAAACUGUAAAGUGUGGUGACUGGUAAGAAUGUGCAAAUUAGUCUCGAGGAAGAUGGAGGCGGGUGAGAGUGAGAGAGAGAGAGAGAGAAUAACGAGGAACAUGUCACCUUGAUUAGCGCUCAAAGUAUGGGGUUUCUGUCUUAACCUUGUCGUUUGCCUUUUUUGAUUUGCAGUUUUGUGUUUGUAUGCGAUCUGUGUCUCUUAGCUCACUGAGUGAGAGUAUAGAAGAGUUUGUGUGAGAUUCUUCUUCCAACCAGUUUGACCAUCUGUCUGUUCUUCUGCACUAGCAGCUAUAUGAGCAUCCACACCAGUUUGACCGAUAAACCCUAGAUUGAUUAAUUAAACCCCACCCUUCCCCUGCAGAUCUGCAUGCCAUUGUCUCUCAGUGGAAACCAGACCACAACAAUCUCAAUCCUUAAUUACAGUUAAAGCUAAAUCUCAUUCUAAUUAUCCGUUAAAUAAAAUCAUUAAUGGUUGGUUGCAUCCGGGCCCUGGCAAGCUUUGUCACCUAAUCUCAGUACAAUCAUUAGAAAUUUUUUAUGUUGGAAGCCAAUAAUGAGAAAUUACUAAUCGGAUUGUGGCAAGCAGUCCAUCCCCGGAUCCACCUUGUUCCUCCUAUGAACAUGUUGGCUUUUACAAAUUGCUAUUUGCUGCACUGUGUAAAACUUGGGACAAUGAUGGACCACGGGUCACGGUUGCCCUUGUAUAACUAUUAUUUUCCCCGAUUAUCUUAAGUGUGGAUGCUAAAGUGUCGAAGCACGAAAAAUUUAUUUACCAAGUGCAAGUACUGGAAAUUUAUGAUACAUCCUUAUUAAUUUUUCUUAUUUUACCUGUGUUGAUGGUCAUCCCUCUUUUACUCAUGAUCACAUCAAUAUUAACAUUUUGAAAUAAAUUAAUAACUAAUCAGAUAAACGAGACUGCAACUGAUAAAGACAACCAUCACAAUUUUCAAGCAAGCAACUCGCUCAACACCACCAUGGGUUUAGUGAGGCGUCCAAUAAGACACAUACAUAUCGUAGCUUGCAGAGGCAAAUUAACAUAAACAUGUUAGGGCAACUGUUAAUUUCGCCAGAUACAUAUGACCACAAAUAAGGCUAAGAGCAAGUUCACCCGUUGAGUCAUUGUUGGGGGAUGACUUGGGUCAUAGGUGUGACCUGAGUCACUUUGGGUCAUUGAAACUAGGUAGCAGUUUCCACCCAUUGAUUAUAUUUCUAGGUCGCCACUUGGUAUUUACAGUAUUAUAUUUUAUGUUAGGUUUUUAAUUACAAAUCAUGAUUUUAGAUGUAAAUAAUUAGUAAAUAUUAAACAUGGUAUAUGAAUAUAUAACGUAAAUAAAGGUUAUUAUUAUUUAGAACAAUCACUAUGAAGUAGAAUUUUAUUUUAUGUGAAUGUUACAAAAAUGUAAAUAAGGGUUCCCACAUUAAUAUAUAUUUAUUUACCUUUAGUUAACUAGGAAAUACGGUAGUCAAAUACCUCCAAUGCUAAACACAAUUAUUGAUCCAAGUCAAUUGCAGGUGUGGGAGUGUGGGACGCACGCCCAUCAGCUUCAUUCAUUGGUUCGUGCAGCGACACGCGCUUUUGGGAGAGUGACAGCUAGCCCAGCAUGGCUCAAGUGGCCCUGUCGCUGAUGUCAGCCACGUUUUGGGGUUCGGCUAAUGCGGCUUGGAGUUAACCUGGGUCAUUAAUGUCAUGACUUGGGUCAUGGUGGUGACCUAAAGAGAUGAUCCAAUGAUAGUUGGGGUGAGAAAUUUUUCAUGCGUGGAAGCAAAAGAAUUUAGGCUGGGUCAUUGUGCCUAUGUGGCUCAUGACCUGGGUCAUAAAAUGUUAAACGAGUAGACUUGUUCUAAUGACAUGGAGAUUGAGUGACCGUUGAUGACGACCACCACAGUCGUCACGCAACGGGUUCAAGACCACCGUGGGUUUAGUGAGCUCCCAUUAAGUAAAUAGAAAACCAGCAUCGACAAAAUCAUAGCUCGUAGAGGCAUACAUAUUACAUUGAUCCUUUGUAACAAGCACUAAACAGUACAUUGAUAAAUAAGAUAUUAGAAGACUGUUGGGGCGGUUGCCAAUUUCGACAAAUGUAUGUGACCACAAAUAUGGCUAAUGGAGAUUGAAUUGAGGUGAAGAGGAUUGAUGAGGAUAAGGAAUACAUAUUUUAUUUUUACUAAUUGAAAUAAAAGAAAUUUUAUUUACACAUAUCUAAUCACUUAAUACACAUUCUCUCUAUUUUUGAAAGUUUUAAUUCCUCUUUUACACUGAUAAUUAAUAUAUGAUAAAGAAAAACAAAUUGUGUUCCAAUAAAUAAAAAAAACCAAAAUUUUCAAUUCGUAAACAUCAAACCCAGCAGAUCGAUAAAACUUUCUUUGCUUUUCCUAUUCUCAUUAUAUGUCUAGCAUAUCCUAUUUCUAAAAGUCUAAGUACAUAUGGUGGUGAAUAUAUAAUAUUAUAUAUAAAACAUUACCAUAGUAGUAUUGGAUAAGAAAUACAUAUUUUAUUUUUACUAAUUGAAAUAAAUCAUGAAAACAAACUAUUAGAUAAAACCUCAUACACACUUCCUUCAUUCAAAUUUUCAUACAUGAUGUGUGCAGAUACGUUAUAAAGUCAUGUCGUCCCCAUCUAUAUCUAAUGACUAAUGACCACCAUCUGUAUGUAAUAACCACAACAACACAACAUUAGAGAUGACCCGAAUUAUUUAUAUAUCAGGGCCCUUCCAAUGAGGGAUCUUUUUUUUUGUUUAUUUAUAGGGAUAGAUCAUUUGACGAACUUUUCGAUCACAAAAUCAAAUCUCCACCGUUCAGUUCAUUGGGCUAUAUGAGUAGAUCAUUUCUACAAAUUUUCAAAAAAUUUGAUAAUCGUUAAAUUAUCCAAAUGAGGGAUUUAUUUUUAAUAAUCUUGAACGGUGUAGGUUUGACAUAAGUGUUAAGUUUUUUGUUUUUUGUUUUAAUCUCAGCUAUCCAAGCCCAUUAAAAAACAGAUCUAAUGGUGUGNNNNNNNNNNNNNNNNNNNNGUACUAUCACUUAUGGAUCUACUAAUCUAAUAAUAACAAGAUUAUACUUAAAGGUUUUUUUUUUUUAUACGCAAGAUUAUACAAAUUUGUUUAAGCCAAUCAUCAGGUUGAUCGUUAAAUCGAUCAUUUGAUUCAGUAUGAAGCUUAUUGGAGAUGCCCAAUAAACCAAACACUGAUAAAUCACCUGAAUUCAGUCCUCUUCCCUAAGGUUAAAUUAUGAUCGAGCAAAGAUUGGAAAGAUUCGUAUCAGAAAAAGAUUAGAAACAUCUAAACCCAAGGCCAGCGGUCUUUUAUAGAGCCUAAAUCCAUAACCAUGAUAGAAAUUAAAGCCAAUACCACGUGGACUGUGGAAGGCUUAAACUCAAACUUAUGGGCUUGAUGAGCAAAACAGAAAAUGACUUGUGGGUUUGUUUUGGGCCUUUUGGGCCCCCGAGUAAUAAAAGUACAUUAGCCUUGAUUCUUCAUACAUAAUUAUAUAUUGCAUAAACCCAUCUAUGUCCUCAAAUUGUAUUAUUUUGCAGACAUGCUCACAUAGUCACAUGGAUUGCACUCGUACACAAUUAAGUGAUACAAUUUCUUUAAUUUAUAUUAACUUUAAAUUUUUUUUCUGAAAAGAUUUUCUUUUUGUUCAUAAUAAUAAAUAUUUUUAAAUUAAUUUAGGGGACCCAAAAUUAUCAAUUUUCCAAUUUUGGUGUGUGAAAAUCAAGGUUCUAAAAAACGUUGGGCGGUAGUCGGGCGGACAGCGCCCAAAAGAUUAAUCGGGGAUUAAUCGGAUUUGUAUUUUUGUAUUUAUUUUAUUUUUUAAUAACAAAUAAUUAUAUAAAUACAAUUAAAGUAGGCAUUAUAACGUCUAAAAAUAAUGAAAAAAACAACAUAUAAUGCUGAAAAUAAUAAAAAUACAUAACAUAUGUCCUUAAAAAUGUACUAACAACCAUGUUCUUACAAAAAUAAGAAAUACAAUUCAACAUUUCAACAACAAUGUCAUUGAAGCAAUUAAGAAACACAAUUAAACAACAAUGUCCUUCGGAAAAUCCGAAAAUAAAAAACACAAUUCACCAACUAGGCAACAAUGUCCAAAAAACAAUUCAAAUAAAGAAAAAUACAUUUUUGCAAGCUACUCCUCCAAUUCUUCUUCUCCAUAUCCUUCAAGUACUUCUUCGUUAUCGGAGUCAAACUCAAAAUCCAUAGUUUCUUCUUCCUCUUCAUCCAAAUCAAAAUCUUCUUCAAGUUCUCUUAUUUCUUGAAUCCUAGAACUUCUCCUAGGCUCAGCCACUGUCCACUCCUAAGUCAUUUCCAACCAUUUCAUUAGUGACAUCGGACAAAAUAUCCUCAUCACCACCAUCAACAAUCCAACCUUGUGCAUUAGUAGCUUCACUAGCAAGAAGAACAUCCUACAUUUUUCUCUUCUCUCUUUUCUUUUUGUUGAGAAUCUUGGCAUUGAAUUGGACAUAGACUAAAUUGUUUAACCUUGUUGCAUCAAGUCUAUUUCUUUUCUUUGUAUGAAUCUAAAUUAAGAAUAAAAAAGAGAGUAAAUUAUCAUAAAAAAAGUGAGUAAAUUAUCAUAAAAAAAGAGAGUAACUAUAUAUAUAAAUUAAGCAAAUAAUUACCCCCUCAAAAGCACUCCAAUUCCUUUCACAUCCGGAUGAACUUGUUGUCAAACCAAGUAUUCUUUUAGCCAAAGUUUGCAAAUUUGGUACUUGAUUUCCAUAAAUAUUCCACCAACCAACUACAAACACAUAGAAAGCCAAUAACAUUAUAAUUAGUCAAAAAUACAAAAGCAAAACAAAUAAACAAUACUAAUGACAAAAUAAAAAAUUUACGAAGUUUUCUUACCCGGAUUAUAAUUUUCAUUAUCUUGUGAGCAUCCCUUCAAAGCGAUAGGUUUUCCAAAUGAACCCUCUUAUUUCUUCAAGUACUUGUGCAAUUCUACAUUUGUCACCUUAUCUUGAAUGUCAAGAUCAUCACCAAAGAACUUCUCUACACAUUCAAUAAACCCAUCCAUGACAACUCCAUCAUUUAUAAUGCUUGGAUCAAAAUAUGUGUAAUAAGGGUUCAAGAGGUAUCCCGCUAAAUGCAAUGGACUAUCAAGUCGUUCACGGGCUUUCUCAUCAACAAUGUCAAGGAUUGGACGAUAGUGAGCUUCUUGAUUUUUGUAUGUCUUCUUAAUCUCUUCUCUAGCUUUUUGUUGCUCUCCAUACACAAAACCCAUUGAUGGCUUCCGAUCCCCAUCAACAAGGCGAAGCACCUUGACUAAAGGGGCAAAAACCUUCAAGCAAAGAUUUACUCCAUUCCAAAAAGAAGGACUCAAAGCAAUACUCGCAGCUGCCUUCCCCUUUGCACUCUUUGCAUGCUUGCUUUCACUCCACUCACCAUUAGUAAUCAUAGAUCUCAAUUCAGUCUUCUUCUCCAUUAAGCUUUGUAAAGUAAGGAAAGCGGUUGCAAAUCUUGUGACUCCCGACCUCACUAUGUCUCUUUUCUUUGUAUACUUUCUCAUCAAGUGCAAAGUCUUGUGAUGUGCAUAAAUGUAGAUGGUGAAACUCUUUGCCUUGUCAAUCACAUUCUUGAAUUUAGGUUGGGUGCCAAUUCCUUGAAGCAUAAGAUUGAUAGUGUGAGUUGCACAAGAAGUCCAAAAUAUUGUUGGCCUCUUCAACUUUAACAAAUCUCCCGCCGCCAUGUUGUUCGAAGCAUUAUCCGUCACCACUUGAACAACAUUUUGUGGCCCAAUUUCUUCAAUGCACUUGUCCACAUAUUCAAAAAUAUAUUUUCCGGUGUGUGACUCAUCCGAUGCUUCCUUAGAAGAAAGAAAGGUUGUCCCUUCCGCACAAUUAACACACAAGUUCAUGAUACUUCUUCUUUUCCGGUCACUCCAUGCAUCGGUCAUGAUAGAGCAACCAUUCUUUGCCCACUCCUCUUCUUGCCUCUUUAAUAAGCCCUUAGUUCUCUCCACCUCUUCCUUCAACAAUGGCUCCCUUAAUUGGUAUUGGGUUGGUGGUUUGUAACUCGGGCCAAAUUGCCCAACCGCUUCCACAAACCUUUUGAAGCUAUCAUUCUCAAUGGCAUGGAAAUGAAGGCCGGCUUCAUACACCCAUCUAGCCAAAUAUUGAUGCACAUUAUGUGUUCUUUCCUUGAAAAGUGAAUCAUUGAUAUUUUGUUGCUUCAUCUUCUUGCUUCCAUCCAAUGAAGAAUCGGGAUCAAUGGCGGAUGCAUAACGGUCCAUAGGUCCAAGAAAGCGCCUCUUUCUUCUUGUCUCAUGACUUGAUCCAUCCUCUUCCCUUUCAUCUUCUUCAAUAUCAACUUCUUGCCUCAAUUCUUCUUCAAAGAGAAUCUUUUGCCUCUUCUUGUUUCGCCCAUCUUCAAUAGCUUUGAUACAUUUGGCUUUGUCCUCAUCCGAACUCUUCUUACAACCGUGAACAUUCCCCUUGAUGUUUGCAAUGUGCUGUUUGAUUCGAUUUAUUCCACCACUUACUACUUUAUUACACAACAAACACUUCAAUCUAUCUGGAUUUGUAGGAUUAGCAUACACUGCAUAUUCCCAACCGAUAUCAGUUGAAUUAGCUUUCAACUCCUUUGAGACUGACCUAUUCUGGCUAUUCAGGUCCGGAACUAGAUUAGAUGCAGAGGAAGAAGUAGUGCCUGCCAUAUUUGCCUGUAUAUAUUUUGUAAUCAAUCACAGACUCACAGUUCACAGAUUCAGCAACUCAGCAAUUCAAUUACUCAGCCUAACAACAGCAGCAACUCAGCAACUUAGCAAUUACCAAAUUCAAUGAACAUUGGUAAACAACUAAACAUAUUAUCAAAUAGACAAAUACCAAGUUCAUCACUCAUCAUUCAUUCAUUCAUCAGUCAUCAGUCAUCAAUCAUCAUUCAUCAAUUACACAGUUGACAGUUACCAAUUACCAAUUACUCAACUAGUCAAUUACCAAGUUCAAAUUCAAUGAACUAACCUCAAGAGUGAAGACGUCAAGUCGUGCCGGGACUGGGAAUCUGGGAUGAGCGCACUUUGUCGUUGUGCGAUGCCGCUUGCCGCCUUGCGUCGCCGACUGAGAGAGGAGAGACCGAGAGACAGAUGAGAGAUGAAGAGAAUAGAGAAUAGAGACAGAGAGAGGAGAGACCGAGAGACAGAGGAGGGACGAGAGAGGAGAGAAUAGAGACAUAGAGAGGACUAGAGGAGAGACCGAGAGACAGACAGAGGAGGGAGAGAGAGGAGAGAANNNNNNNNNNNNNNNNNNNNNNNNNNNNNNNNNNNNNNNNNNNNNNNNNNNNNNNNNNNNNNNNNNNNNNNNNNNNNNNNNNNNNNNNNNNNNNNNNNNNNNNNNNNNNNNNNNNNNNNNNNNNNNNNNNNNNNNNNNNNNNNNNNNNNNNNNNNNNNNNNNNNNNNNNNNNNNNNNNNNNNNNNNNNNNNNNNNNNNNNNNNNNNNNNNNNNNNNNNNNNNNNNNNNNNNNNNNNNNNNNNNNNNNNNNNNNNNNNNNNNNNNNNNNNNNNNNNNNNNNNNNNNNNNNNNNNNNNNNNNNNNNNNNNNNNNNNNNNNNNNNNNNNNNNNNNNNNNNNNNNNNNNNNNNNNNNNNNNNNNNNNNNNNNNNNNNNNNNNNNNNNNNNNNNNNNNNNNNNNNNNNNNNNNNNNNNNNNNNNNNNNNNNNNNNNNNNNNNNNNNNNNNNNNNNNNNNNNNNNNNNNNNNNNNNNNNNNNNNNNNNNNNNNNNNNNNNNNNNNNNNNNNNNNNNNNNNNNNNNNNNNNNNNNNNNNNNNNNNNNNNNNNNNNNNNNNNNNNNNNNNNNNNNNNNNNNNNNNNNNNNNNNNNNNNNNNNNNNNNNNNNNNNNNNNNNNNNNNNNNNNNNNNNNNNNNNNNNNNNNNNNNNNNNNNNNNNNNNNNNNNNNNNNNNNNNNNNNNNNNNNNNNNNNNNNNNNNNNNNNNNNNNNNNNNNNNNNNNNNNNNNNNNNNNNNNNNNNNNNNNNNNNNNNNNNNNNNNNNNNNNNNNNNNNNNNNNNNNNNNNNNNNNNNNNNNNNNNNNNNNNNNNNNNNNNNNNNNNNNNNNNNNNNNNNNNNNNNNNNNNNNNNNNNNNNNNNNNNNNNNNNNNNNNNNNNCCGCCCAGCCGCCUAGGCGGCCAAAAAACGGCUGGCCGCCUAAACUCGCCAAUUUGACUAAAAUCGGGACGGCAACCAUUCUCCGGACGCCCAGACGGCGCCUAGGCGGCCGCCUAGACCGUUUUUUAGAACCUUGGUGAAAAUGAACUGGCAAUGCAGCAAAAGGAUGGCAACAGAGACGGAGGAUGGUGCAUGCUUAUCCGUAGCCCAGACAACUUUCUUCAUCCUUUCAAUUUAAUUAAGCUUAAUUAUCUUAAAAUCUACAUAUGUAGCUAAUUAACUUAGCCCAGUCUAUUAUACAACCCAUGUCAUAAUUACAAAAGAAUUCAAAGCUUUAUUUCAUCAUGUCACACACUGCCACCUAAAUUAAUGCAAAAAUCUUAUUCAUACUGUUCAUCCAAAAAAAAAUCACAUUAAAAUUUUAUAAUAAUAGCCCAUAGAAAUUAGAGUUAACUGUAUUUUUUGAUUUUCUGGAACAGGCAACCUAUUUAACUCAACCAAUGGAGUCUAUCUAACACUAAAUUAUUAACCAACUACUGUAUUAUUAGACUCGAUUAAUCAAUCAUCAUUCUUCUAUAUUUUGAAAUUUUUAUCAAACGAAAGUUUAGCCGAGUCUACUUUGAAAUCCUGGCUUUGUUC